Molecule: long non-coding RNA, 53042 nt
Filed under: Eucalyptus grandis
Lineage: Eukaryota; Viridiplantae; Streptophyta; Magnoliopsida; Myrtales; Myrtaceae
Description: long non-coding RNA (EGRA_LNC001745)
Source: RNAcentral
UAAACCAAAAUACCAAUCAGGAAAAAAGGAUGCUUUCCUUGCCCCGCAUGCUAAAUAGUACAUACAUAAUAUUAUUCCCUCAGAAAAUGUGACAUAAAAAGAAAAAUGCAGCCCAUAUGUCAAGAUGUUUGUUUGCCGAAGACAAACUGAACCAAAAUUUUUUACCUUCUCCCUGUUCAUUGUUUUUCGAAUCAUAUCCUGCGUGAAAAAUCUACGUGAACUUGGAUCUCCAGAUCCCUCUUGCUUAAAAAUUCUUUUGCCAAAGCAUCUCAGCAAUCUGUGCAUCUGCAGUUCAUUGUUUUCUCCAAUUUUUGCCAGGGGCAUUAGAAUGCAACCAGAAGAUGGAAGGUAACAAUUGGGCCACAUAUAUGAAGCAAUUCGGGCAUCCACACCAGAGAUAAAACAUGCAAUGUCCAGAUAUAUAUCUUUUUGCAGAUGAUCCAGUUCUCCGUAACAUAUAUCCAAUAGCUCUUGAAGGCCAACCAUAGUCUUUUGAGAACUCAUCGGACGUGCUUUCAUUGCCUUCUCCAUCUUUUCCCAUUCUUGUAUUGAUUUACCCCGCAAAAAUGAACCGAUGACUUCAACUGCUAAUGGUAGUUUCUUUGUAGCAUCGACAAUGCAGUUUGAGAGUCCAUCAUAAUCAGGCAUGGAAGAUUGCAUCCUGAAUGCAUGCUUGCAGAAAAGUUCAAAAGCUUGACCAUCAUCCAACUCACUAACCUUGUAGGUGGGAGCCUUGUUGGAAUCAUACCCUUCGAGAAUUUCCUCAUUUUGAGAAGUCACAAUUACUCGACUACCUGGACCAAACCAAUGAAGCUGGUCUCCUACAAUAGCAUGAAGAUCGGAUGGCUUUUCCACGGCAUCGACAACUAUUAGAACUUUCAUUUCACAAAAUAUAUCCACGAAAUCUUUUAUUGUUUCAUCAAAAGAAGGAUCUUCAUGAUUUCGUUCAAGGAUAUCACGUAUCAACUUAUUUUGCAAAAACUGCAUUCCACCAGAACUUUGUGUGGUUUCUUCGACCUCUGCAAGAAAGCUACAACUGUCGAAACAAGAAGAGAUCUGGUCGUAUACAGCCUUGGCGAGAGUCGUCUUGCCAAUUCCAUCAGUACCAUAGAUUCCAAUAAUGCGCACCUCAUCAUUACCUUCCAUCUCCAGUAAGUCGGUGAUUUGUUUGGCACGAUCAUCAAUUCCAACCAAAUUCUGAACAGCUGCAAUUGCGUAAUUCCUAUCCGAGGCUCUCAUGUCUACUGUUCGCUGUCCAGCUUCAUCUUUCAUAUUCUCCAUGCUCUGCAAUAAAAAGAUAAUUUCUUCACCAAAGUAUUAUCAUAGAUGGAAAAAAGAACAAACGUCACCUGAUCAGUCUCUCUUUUCUAACAUUGCAUCACUUUCACACAUGAGAUUGGAAAUCAUUUUCCGAAUGAGAUUUAACCCUAGAAACAUUUUUGGUCACAUAUCACAAUAGGAAAAAUUAACAAAUUUUCUUGAAAAAUUUCCCANNNNNNNNNNNNNNNNNNNNNNNNNNNNNNNNNNNNNNNNNNNNNNNNNNNNNNNNNNNNNNNNNNNNNNNNNNNNNNNNNNNNNNNNNNNNNNNNNNNNNNNNNNNNNNNNNNNNNNNNNNNNNNNNNNNNNNNNNNNNNNNNNNNNNNNNNNNNNNNNNNNNGUUAUUCAUGGCGCGAAUCAUUUUCUCCAUGCACUCAAUAGUUAGAGAACAAGUUGAAGAGAUCGACGGAUGCGGUCGGCGAGGGAGAGAAGGCCGUGAACAGGGUCGACGCCGACGGUCUGUAGCUAUUGUUCGGGGGCCAGAACGGGCUCAAGUCUUGCAACAUGUGGGGCUCCGUCGCCGGCGAGAAGAAACCCGCGGAUAUCGCCGGCGGGGCCGCCGGCGUCAGUAUCAUCAGCCCGUCGUCGCCGGCCACCGCCGAAGGCCCGCCCAUGAACAGGGUCGACGCCCACGGGCUGUUGUAGCUGUGGUUCCUGAGCCAGAACGGGCUCAAGUCUUGCAACAUGUGGGGCUCCGUCGCCGGCGAGAAGAAACCCGGGGAUAUCGCCGGCGGGGCCGCCGGCGUCAGUAUCCCCUGACUCUGGGCCAGCUGGACGUCUCCCAACAUACACAUCAGCUCGUCGUCGCCGGCCACCGCCGACGGCCCGCCCAUCUCCGCGGCGGCGGCGGCAAAGCCCUUUUCCCUGCCCGUCGGGCUGGUCUGCUCUAUCGCCGCCACUCUGGCCGCCGGGGACACGUACCCGGAGGAGGUGGAGGAGGACCCCGUGAGCUGCUGGACGAUGGACAUGAAGUUCCGCUCCUCGACGUGGAUGACCUUCGGCGAGAUGUCGAAGAUGAUCGUGGGCCGUUGCCGGUCCGCCCCCGCCCCCGCCGGCGGCAGGUUGGUCGGGCGAGGGUCCCACGAGGAUGAGGACGCCGGGUGGGGCAGCCGGUGAGGGCGGGGCGGCUUCUGGACGGCGUGGGACUGCUUGGGGACCCGGAGCGGGGAGGGCCGGGGGCCCUGGGAGGGGGGAGCUCCUUCUUGGGCGGCGACGGCAGCGGCGGCUGCCUUUCCUCCGCCGGAGGGAUAGGAAGGCUCCAUGAUUGAGGCUAUAUCGGGUCGGUCUUGAUGGGGGAGGAGGAAGGAAAAGGAAGUGGGGGAUGAAUAAGAGGCCGAGAUUUGGUGGGCAGCGGUCAAAAUGGAUGCUGAAGCUAAGAGCAGAGCAGAGGAGGAGAGAGAAUAGAGAGAGAGAGAGAGCGAAUUACAUUUAUGACCGGAGAAAAGUCAACAAUUCAUCGAAAGGGUCCUCCUGUAAUUUUCCAAGGCCCCGCAUUCGUUGUUUUAUUAUUAUUGGCACUGAGCUUAUGCAAGGAGGAUGAUGGUUGGCUGAGGUGGGCAGAACGCCCCUCCUCAUUUCAUCAAUGGGCCGCACCGUCCUCCUUCUUCUAGAGAGAUUAAGGAAAGAUUAGAGCUUUUCACAUUUAUAACCCGUUUUUGCAUAUGAAUCCGGACUGAUCCUUAACAGGUUUAAAGGAGAAAAAAUAGGAGAAAUAACUCAUGAGGGAUUGGACUCCCCAAUGUCGCUUUCUGUAUUUCCAUCUGAAUAGGGAAGAGAAAGAUCUAACUUUGUUAUAAUGGGAGCAUAUCUAACUUAGCUAUAAGAAUAAAUAAGUAUGGUUUCUUUCUCUCUCUUCCCCUUAUGCUAAAAUCAAAAUUCUGGCGUCUGGUAACCAGAAUUGGAAGAGCAACAACAUUCAUUUGCCAGUCAGUUUGACCGGUUUGAUGUACCCUUUUGGAAAACAAGAAUUUCAAAACUAAAAAAAUUACCAACUUUUGAUGAGGAAGUAAGUAUGGCCAGAGCCCAUGUUUAACUGUCUGCCGCCACGUCAUGGGAAAGUUCUUUGUUAUUACCUUUUCCAGUUGUCCGGAUCUCUCUCGUUCUCGCGUAUAAGAAUCUCUAAUCAAGAAAUGCGGGAGAUAUCAUGUCUAGUUUCGAGGAAGGGGAGGCCGUCUGGACUUUCUUUCUUUGGCCUGCCUCAUAAUCUUUUUAUGUACUUCGACCUGUGAGCUAAUCUCGCUUUUGAGGAUCUCUUUCUUUGGCGUGCCUCAUAAUCUUUUUAUGUACUUCGACCUGUCACUCGACCCUAUGAGCUAAUCUCGUUUGAGGCAUUUAGUGGCACUUUUGAGGAUCGCUUUCUUUGGCGUGCCUCAUAAUCCUUUUAUGUGCUUCGACGUCACUCGACCUAUGAACUAAUCUUGCUUGAUGCGUUUAGUUGCACUUUUGAGAAAAGCUUUUAAGAAAAUAUAAAUGAUUUCAAGUUAAAAAAAAAAAAUAUGUAAAUUGUGUUUGUUAAGUUGUGAUAAAAAAUCCAUUAUGAAAUACUUUAAGUAAAAGGGUAUUUGAAAAGAAUAUAUUUACAGCAAAGACCGGCCACAGGCGAGGUCAAGCCUCGUCGGGUCCUCGCCCAAGACUAGUGAGCUUGGGUGAGGCAGCCUUGUUGACCUCUAGCAACCAUCCUCACCCACUCACUACUCUAGCGAGGUCCAAGCUCGCCUGUGGCCAGUUGUCAACCAUCGCCAUGGCCGGUGAUUAGACGAAGAAGAAGGAAAAAAAAAAAAGGAAAGAGAAUGAAAGAAAAGGAAAAAAAAAACAUAAAAAUUAAAAAUAAUUAAAAACUCGAUUUCAAAAAAAUAAAAAUAAAAAGAAAAUGUGUUUGGUGAGAAAAAUACUUAAAUAUAAGUGAAAGAAACAAGAUCUAAAAAAUGAAAAACAUUUUCCCUGCUUAUGUUUUUUUCAUUGAUAGAAAAUAUUUUCCUUGACUAGUUUAUUUUCCGUAAACCAAACGGCAAAAAAUCAAACAAACAUUUUUCUGAAAGUUAUUUUCUAUUACAAGCCUUCACUUAUAAGAGGAAUCCUCUCAUCCUUUCCAAUAAAAAGUCAAAUUAUGUUGAGGAAUAUCUUCAUUGUAUGAAAAAACAAAGAUAUGUAACUGACCUCGAUGGCAGCUUCGACUCCAUCCUUCAGCUGGUUAACAUCUUCAAGCUCAUUAAGGAUUGUUAUACUGCUGCCUCGAAUAAUAUUCAAGACUGGCAAAAGCUUUAAAUUUUUGCAUGCGUCCAAUGCAACAGGAUGGGAGAAUAUUGGUAAAGUGGGACGAGCAGAAAAGAUACCUUCCACCUUCCUGAGACGUCGUAAAUCUUCGAGCCCGUUAAGGUUUAUUGUCCGUUUGCAAUGAAAAACUUUCAAGACUUCCAAAAGCUUUAAAUCUUCGAGACCAUCAAUCUAUGCUAAAUCGCAGUCCUCUAGUUCUAGUUCUGAUAGAUGUUUCAGACUAGAAAAUUUUGGCUCUGGAAUCUUGCAGUGUUUGAGACGCAGAGUCCAUAAGUUUGAGGAGGGAAGUUGUGUGAGGUCUAGCUCCUUCAUGUAGGAUAAAGUGAGUUCCCGGAGCUUGGUAAGACCACGAAAAUCCCCAGCGAGAUUGGUGACAUUUGGAAGGGACAAUUCCAAGGUCUCUAGCCUUGUCAAUCCCAUGAUCCACCACAUAUUUGGGGUCUGAUUUGAUGACCCCGCUUCUAUCUGCUCAUCAACAUUCAAGCAUAGCUCUUUUAGAUUCGUCAAAUUUGUCAAUUUGAGGUCUGCCAUAAUUUUGGAUUCACAACAGAGAGUGACUAAACUGGAGGGCAACUCUGGUACUACUUGAAGUCGUUCACAUUUACGUACGUCAAGGGUUCGAAGAAGAGGGAGACUGCAAGCCCUGAGGCAGCCCCACCACAAUGGAUGACGAUAAUCUCAAAAUUCUCAAGGAGGAUAGUUGUGAUAUUCUCAAGGAGGAUAGUCCUGAAAUAUCACAACUAUCUUGGGCCUCCAAAUUUGUGCAGCUAGAGAAAUCUAUCUCUUCCAGUUUCUCUAACUUCACAAUAUCUUUAGGAAAUUUUUGUAGGGGGGUGCGUUCCAUCUUCAGCGUCUUCAAAUUACUCAAAUCCUUGACUGACUCUGGUAGUUGUGUGAUUCUAGUGUCCGAAAGGUCCAUUUCCUCCGGCUCCUUUAGCUUCCCAAUGGAAGAUGGAAGUUCACACAACUUCUCACACUUCCUUAGAGAAAGUCUUUCAAGCUUAAGAGGAAAAUCAAAAGUUUCUGGAACCCAAUCAAUAUUAGCACCAUCCAGAGCAAGACUUUUGAGUUUCGUCAGGUGGCCAAUUGGGGAUAUGUCCUUCAACUUUUUACAGUUACGAGCACUAAGUACUUCAAGGUUCCUCAAAGAAUUAUUUUCGAUAUGAAUUUCUACGAUGUCAGUUCCGUCAAUCAGAAGUUCCGUAAAAAAUCCCUUGCCACUCAGUUGUAGGAUCGGCAAUUGGAUUGCCUUGCAGUUUCUCAAAUUCAAGGAUUUCAAGCGCUUCAGUUGCCUGAUGAAUGCCCAAAGCGCAGGUGACCGAGUACAAUCUUCCAUUAUCAAUAUCUCCAAAUCGGUUGAAGCUGAAGACUUCAACAAUACCCUAUGCAGAUCACAUCCUUGUAGGUUCAAGACUUUCAAUUCCUCCACCUUCUGCAAUGAACGUGCAACAAAAGAUAUCAGACUUUACUCACUCACACCUAAAAUCUUAUCGAGAGAUUUAAAUAGUAAAUAUCAGCCAUACCUCCAUGAUUUGCCUCCACUCUUGUGGAUAUUUGGUGACUGGACUCCUAGACAGAUCGAGAAUGAGUAACUUCUUCAAAUCUUACAUAGCUCAGGAAUGAAAUGACAAUCUCGCCAAUCACCCUCUUCAAGUGUGAGACUAAUGCCUUCGACACUUUCAUUAUGCUGUCAAGUGUCGACGGGGGAAGACGGAUGAGUAAGUUGAAAAACUUUAAUUUCUUAAUCCUUUAAAUCAAAUGAGACAAAUUAAAUUUACAAAAAUCAAGUGGGUAUCCAUUUCGCGCUCCGAAUCGUGUUUAAGAACAAAUCCGUUUUUUUCCCUGCUCCAGAGAUUGAAUAGUUUAUACUAGGAAGCACGGACACUCUCCUGAGCCCUUCCGUGUCGCGACACGCAGUAAGUUCCGGCAUGCACUUGUCACAGGGUAGAGGUAGCAGGGGUUGGUGUUCUUGAGGGAGGCGGAGAAGCGGGAGGUGGAGGACUCGUGUGGGCGCCGCGCCCAGCGAUGAGUUCCCACCCAACGCCUCCGCCGCUGCAGAUCCGAUCUGGCUAGCUAGAUCUGCAGCAGCCAUGGCAACGACGGGGGAAUCUCUACGGAGCCCAAUCGCUACCGACAUCUCGAUCUAGCCUGUUUGGGCCAUGGACAAGCCGGUCGAGGCCAGGAGCCGUCGGAAUCUCGACCAUGGUCAAGCUUCCACUGGAAUGGCAUCCCCUGCUUCCACUUGGGGCUGCCGUCGCAUUCCUUGACGGUCAUGCGAGCUUCUUGGUCUGGAAGACGAAGCCGCCGACGACGACGAAGAGAGGCAAGGGUCUCACCGGGUUCGAGCACAAGGUUCGCCCGGCAGACGGGACACGUGGUUUGCAUCAGCGCCACGUUUGGAUGCGGACGCAGUCGCAACACAAAUCAUUUGCUAAAUAUAUUAUUAUGUCGAUUCUUUUCAAAAGAAUAUAUAAGAGAAUUCUGCAGUAUCGCGUUCAGCAUAAGAAUAAAUCGAUGUUGAGAACGUGUGUUUGAAUGAAUUACCAAAAAAACAUGUGCAUUAGAAUCAAACAAAAAAAAUGAUAAUUUAUAAUGUAUAUUUAAAAAUAUUCAUUUAUUAUUUAUUGUGUCAUUACGUGUUACGUGUUAGAAUUUUUCAUUUUCUUGAAAAAUGACAUAUCAACGUAUUAUGUUGCUUGCCGAUACUAUUUAGAAUUUAUGUUAUUUAUGGAUGGUUUAUCUGAACACAUUCGUGACCCUCUAAAAGAAAUUUCUAAAAGCUUUUGAAAACUUACCUACCAUCCUUUAGAAUGGAACAUACAUCAUUGAACUUCCAAAUCCUGCAGCGCUUUCGAAGAUCCUUCCCCUCGACAAUUUUCCUUCUGAAGUCUCUUAAUAGUCUGUGCAUUCUUAAUUUAUUAUUUUCUCCAUCUUCCAAGAAAUGCAUGUUGCGAAGUUCUUUUGUUUCAAAAGAAGGAUAGCAACCACAAGCCUUCCGCAUGUUAGAGGGAGUCCUCUCAUCCUUUCCAACAAACGAACACGUUCCCUCUAACAUCCUUUCCAACAAACGAACACGCUAUGUCCAGGAAUAUCUCCUUUGUACGUUCAUUUAAUAAAUCAUAAUUUGCGUUCAAGGCAGCUUCUACUUUUCCCUCAUGUGGAUGAUCUCUUAAGUAAUCUCGGAUAAUUCUCCAUGUCUCUGGAAUGUACUCAUCUUUAAAUAAUUUGCCCAAAACACAGUAGCCAUAGCCUUCUACUUGUGAAGAAGAAUAUGGAUACCUCGUCUGAUGUCUCUAAAGGGAGUGACCCCGUAGGAGAGUUUGUCGUUGCAAUAAUCAUGUCCUUGUAAUCCCUGUAGGGAAGGCCAUUGACAUUAGGAUAGCCAUGGCUUUGUAAUUUACGACACUUCCGAAUUGUUAUUAGGCAUUCAUCAAACAACUUCGUGUUAGAUUCGUCCAGCAGAACUUCCAGUUUCCGAUAGCUAGAAACAUAGAAAUCACACAAAAAGUCUAGCUCAUCAACACCAUCAAUAGAUUGUAGCUCAUGGCAACCGACGAUUGACAGAGACUUCAGCAUCUGUAAGUUUGAUAACUCACAUAUUUUGCUAAUAGGACACUUUUUAAUGGUUAAAGUCUCCAAUGAUUUCGAUGCAACAAGACUUGGAAUCUCAAUCAGCUUCUCACAUCUUGAAACCUCCAAAUGUGUUAGCUUCUCUACUUUCGAUGGAAUAAUUAGUUUCUCCAGUGAACUGCACUCAUAAACAAGUAAUGCAUUCAAAGAUUCUAAAUCGUUGAGGCCCUCAACAGUACGAAGCUCAUAGCAGUUUGAUAUAACCAAAAGCUUCAGCAACUUUGAGUUUGACAGGUCGUAUAACCUUUCAACGGAACCAUAGUACUGUACAUUCAUUUCUUCCAAGAACUCUAGGGCCUCCAAACCUUCAAUCUCAACUAGCUUCGGACAUUCUGAUAGCCGCAAUUCUUUAAGUUUCUUUAAGCUUGCCAGGAUGAAUAACCUUUGGAGGAGUUCACAUUUAGUCACUGACAAUGCUCUCAGUUCUUCGAGUCCACUGAGAUCAAUUUCUUGAAGCUGAGAUUGAGAAAGUCGUAGCUUGGACAAGUUUUUCAAGUUGGAAAAGAUUGACCAAGAUAUUAUUGAGUUGAAAUUAACAAGUUUUCAAGUUGGAAAAGAUUGACCAAGAUAUUAUUGAGUUGAAAUUAACAAGUUGCAGCUCUGAUAAGGAGGGAGGAAGCUUCAUGAUACAUUGCAAGUCUAGUCCAGAUAAAAUAAGCUCAGUUAGACGAGGAAGAGAACCAAACUGAGUAGGUGGUGCAGGGACACUAGAAAGAGACAAUUCUAACUUCUUCAGUUUAGAUAACCUCCUAAUCCACCCUAAGCUGGAACUUGGCAACAGAUAUGAUGAAGCUUUAAGCACAUCUUCAGAGCCAUCAGAUAAGAGCAAAUCAACCAGAUUAGUCAAGUUUGAGAGAUCCGAAAAAAUGUGCAAUGCUGAUGAUCGAAAAUGCAGAUAGAUUAGACUUUUUGGAAGCUCUGGCAAUUCUUGAACCUCAUUACAACCUGUCAACUCCAAUCUUUCAAGGUGGAGAAUAUGAUUGAUUGUUGUCGGCACUCCAGAAAUAUGGGCACCUAAUAGUUCGAGAAUUUUCAAAGAGGACAAUGCGCCAAUUUCAAUUGGAAUUUCACCAGUUAAUUCUUCACAAUCACUAGCAUGGAGCUCUUCCAGAUUCUUUAACAUUCCAAUAGUAUUGGGCAAUUUCCUUAUUGGAGUAUUCUCCAUCGAUAUCACUUUCAAAUUCUUGAGAUUUCCAAUUGAAUCUGGUAACUCAGCAAUUUUAGUACUGGAUAAAUUCAACUCUUGCAAAGACUCUAGCUUCCCAAUUGAGUCUGGGAGUUUUCUCAACUUAAUGCACCCAAAGAGAUAGAGAGAGACUCAAGUUUCACAAGCUUCCCAAUAGUCUCUGGAAGCGUGCUAAUUUGUGUGUACCUUAGAAUAAGGACAGACAUAAACUUCUUAUCACCAAUACAAUCAGGAAGGCAUUCAAUUUGUAUGUUUGACAGAUCCAACUCCUUCAAUGAACCCGGGAGUUUCAGAAAACAUCCACUAGAAGCAAGGAGCUUCAUAUUCGUAAGCCUUCCAAUUUCUUCAGGCAAAUCCUUAAGAGAGAGGUCCUCUUUAAGAUUUAAGUGAAUCAGGCGCUUUAGCUUCCCAAUGGAGGGAUCAAUCUCAACCAAGUUUAUGCAAUUGUAAAAACUCAGCCUCUCUAGACUGAAGCAUGUAGAGAAGUCUAGUGUUCUAAUUAUGCCUUCGCAACCUCUGAGGUUUAGAACUUUCAGAUUCUUUGCCAUCUAACAAAAAUGAUUCACCAUCAAGAGAAGAAAAUAGUAUAUAUUACAUCAUACGCCAAUUAGAAUCAAAGCGAAUGCAUAUCAUACCUUGAUUAGGCUCCAUCCACUCCAGUCAUCUGUGAUGCCGCCUGCAACGAUCUCAAGGACAACCAAAUUCUUCAUAGAUAGAUUGGUUACCUCAAGAUCAAGGGGCCUAGGAGAAUACCAAGAAAUCCACCUUAACUUCGAAAAAUCAUCCCCAAAGUCUCUGGCAAAGGUUCCCUCCUCUAAUUCAAGGAACCUUAGGUUGGGCAACCUAUUAAGUUCGUCAUGCGUAAUUACAAGUGGUUGAUAAUCACUUCCAGUUAAUAUGAGUUCCUGAAGUUUUUUCUUUCUCUGCCAAAGCGAACACAAAUGAACAAGCAUGAAUUUGAAAUAUAUAUAUUAUAGUAAGAAUUUGACAAAUUUUCAAAUUCUCGUUUGGGGUAAAAGAAUCGAGAGGCCUCUAAGUGGGAAUGUAAACUCUUUUCUACACGUAUCAAACUCAUGAAAACAGUGAAUUUUGUUUACCUGUUUUGUUCUUACAAUGUCCACGGCUUUCUCACAAAUCCACACCUGGCUACGCUCUCCAGGAUCAUGCAAGCACUCCCUUAGAACGAUGUGCCUCCCAAGAUCUUUGAGCUGGUCAAGCAUCCAUAAUACAUCACCAUCAACAAUCUUUACCAUAGACAUUUGCAUAAGAACCUGUAUCCUAGUCUCAGGAAAAAAUUGCAAGCUUCCCACAUGUAAAUUGCAUUCGUCUUUUUGGUGUUGUUGACAAAAAAACAAGCAAUGUCAAGAAAAAUCUCCUUUUCCUCAUCCCCUAAUGCUUCAUAACUGAUCAUCAACUACUGUCAGACAUCCUUACGAGGUAUUCUUGCUAGCCUCUCCACAGUCUCUUUCCAUAUCUUCUCUAGUUGGCGAUAGAGAAAUGAGCCUAUGACCUCAAGAGCCAAAGGAAGCCCUUUGGUUGUGACAACAAUUUCUGAUGCAGGAAUAUCGUAUUGAUAUGGUGGAUAAUCUUUUCUAAAAGCAUGUAUGCAGAAAAGCUUAAGAGCUUGAUCAAAAUUCAGUUCCUUUAAUUUGUAUAUCAAAUCCUCAUCCAGGACUUUUAGAGUAGCUUCAUUCCUGGUUGUAAUGAUUAUCCUACUUCCUGAACCAAACCAAUCUCGUUCCCCUGCUAACUUCUCUAGUUGUUCUUCAUUAUCAACAUCAUCCAAAACGAUGAGGACCUUUUUGCUGCGAAAUCUUGUCCCGAUCUGGUUAAUCCCAUCAUCAAUGUCAUGAAUGUUGUCCACGAAUCUAGAGUCGAGAAUGUUUACAACUGUUUUUGCAAAUUUACUAGGCCCCCUUUUUCUGAUGAUUCUCGAACAUCUCCAAGAAAGCAGCAAUCAUCGAAAUAAGAACAGACCUGGUUGAAGACAACCUUCACAAGAGUUGUUUUGCCAACACCGCCCAUCUCGUGAAUACCAACAAAACAAACACCUUCACAGUCAACAUCCAACAGCUUCAUUUCUACACGAUCAUCCACUCCAACCAGCUGAUUUUUCACGUACUUAUGCUUUAUCUUCAACUUUACCAAAACCUCUCGGAUGAUCAACUUAAUAGCUUCCCCAUGCCUGCCACAUAUACGAACUGCCUCAGUUGAAGAAAGACGGUAAAUAGAGAUGUCAUCAUUUCUUUCAAGUCAAAGCAAAAGUAUUUGGAUUUAUGCAUAGAUGAUUCACAAACAAGGAGUCAGUUAAGAAACAUACACAUAAUACAAAGGUAAAAUUUUACACAUGAGACGAAGGUCCAAUGUUUUAUACCUCUUUCCCAACAAUGUAAAUCUGUCUUCAAGCUUUCUCUCUUUUUUUCUUUUUCUUUUUUGUUCUUUUUAUACCAUCAAUAGGAAAUGCAACUUAAGCUUAAAGUUCUUCCUGCUUCAUGAAUGAUUUCCAAGCUAGAUUGAGCAAGAUGGAAUAAAUAACUGGACCUACAAGUUAAAUUAAAAAAAUUGAGUUGAGUAAGAGCAGAAAGAAAACUUAAGAAGAAGAAUUGAUGAAAAGAACACGCAGAAAAAGAGUGAAAAAUAUCCAGUGAAGGGUAAACGAGGGGCAAAGAAAAGAAGGAGACUUGCUAAAAUGAAGCUUUCCUCAGAAACCACUAGUUGCUUCACUCCUUAAAACAUCAGAGUAAAUUUGUGAUAUUAGAUUUCAGACAAGGCAAAUAACAUACAAACAAAAGCUUUGAAUAUCUUGGAACUUAACACACCCUCGAGUAUAUGUAGGUUCUAGAUCUACGGAAUCCACGUGUAUGAUAGAGGAGGUGUGCAAUAUUAUGUCAUUGCAAAUGCCUUCUUGAUAUGAUGCUUAAUUUUCAUUUACCCACCUGAUGUUUUUUUGCUUGGUCUCUGUUUAAACUGUACUCUGAUGUUUGAAAUUGCUUUCUAGACUAGCCAAAUGAAUGAAAUUUUUUUGCAGAACUUCCCGAUUUGGUUGGUAUACGAGUGACCACGACCAAAAUGGAGAUUUUAAUUAACUCAUCAGUUUUCUCCUAUCGAUUAUCACUUACCACUGAUGAAAGGCCCAUCAAAGUGAGGAACAGAAUAGAGAUUAUCCAGGCUCAUUAAUUUUGAAAGCUGGUUGCUGACUACUAAAAUGGAGCCUGCCAGAUUUCAUGAGUCUAUACAUCAAUGACCACACCAGACACAGAAUAUACUAGCAUCCAACUGAGACCCGGACAAUGUACAAUUACUGCCAACUUCUUCCCGCAUUUCAAACCGUCGAAAUUCCCAGAAAUCUUACCUAUGCAGAAAAUGGCAAAGACUGAGGAAUUCAAAUUGUACAUCCUAAUACAACCAUCAGAUUGCAUAUAAAUGACACGAAAAUAAUAUCAAAAGAACAGAAAAUUGGAAGAUUAGUAAUUACCCUCUCGUUUUGAGGUCCCAUCCCUUCAAUUCAGCAACUUCAACAAGAGCAUCCUCCCACCUCUUCACUUCCUCAACCCCAAACUUCUUCCUGUGCUUGGCCAUGGCAUUCCUGUACAGCCCAGUCCUGAGCUUCACAUCCGAGGGCGACGCGUCGAAGAACACCGGCAAGAUCUCCUUAUUCCCCUUCGACCGAGCCACGCAGUCCACCAUGUGGGCGACCUCGCGGAGGCACCACGAGCUCGAUGCGUAGUCCUUGGAGAAGAUGGGCACGUAGAUCUUGGACACGUCGAGCGCCCGCAUGAGCUCGCCGCCGAUCUCCCUGCCGACGCGGAGCUCCUCGUCAUCUCGGUAGACACGGAUUCCGGCGCCGAGCAUGUCGUGGUAGAGGCAAUCAGUAAAUCCCGUUCGAGUAUCAGGCCCCCUGAAGCUCAGGGACACCUCGUACUCCUCGCCGGCCGGCGCCGGCGCUACGCUGCCGCUUGCCGCGGCUCCGGGGUUGCUCGUCUCCUCUCUCCUGACCGUCGCGGUGGGUUUGCGGAAGAAUUUAGACGCUUUCGAUUUGACGAAUGCGAGCACGGUCGGAGCGAGCAGUCCCAAGGCCCUGACAAAGAUGCAACGAAGUUUGGAGACUGGCUUUUUCAUUUCCAUCUUCUGGGUUGGUGAGCUUUGAGGCGGAAGAGAAAAAGGAAGAGUAAGAGAGCGGCUUACAGUCCACCGAGCAUCAUGGCGGCGAACAUGGCGGACACGCCGCGGGGCGCGCGGUGGUAGCCGAGCGUUGGCGGCUGGCAAGACGAGCACCACGCGAAGGAAGAGCUGAACGUGGUCGGAGAACGACACGGCGCGUGCGGGAUGAACUUGAACCCCAUCGCGAUCAUGGGUCAGCUCGGUCUUCGCUUCGGAUCGGAUGUAGAAGACGAUCGUCCAAAGAGAGAUGUGCAGUAAUCUUGGCGUUCGGUCUGGUCAAAGAGUUGACGAUCGUCCAAACAAUUUUUGCCGCGGGCCUAAUUAUUACUACAAGGGAGCUUUAUGUGUAGCUAAAGAAGCAUAACAGAGACACAGGCGAUGGGCGUUUCCGCCAAACCACUGGCGCUCGUGUAAUUCGGUAAUUUUCAGAAUUUCUUCCUAAAUCAUUUUACGCAAUGAAUGCGCUUGUCUUUCUGAUAUCCUUAUUUCAACUUUAGUAAAACGUAAAUUUUCACGAAUUGAGAAGUCAUAAUCUUUGCUCACAUUCAAGUUUUGGUUAUAUGUUUGGCCGGUUGAUUCUAAAAUUGCCUUAAAGAAAGGUCUCAUUUAUUCUUGUGAUUUUUCCAAUUUUUUUCAUCCUUAAGAAGGAGAGGCUUUGAUAGCAAAUGCAGAAAAUGAAUAAGGAACAGACUGGACAUCUUUUAGCUUGUUAGAUUGAACAUUAUGUCUAUUACAGAAGUUAAAAAAUUAAUGUGCAAUAAAUUGAGAAGAGAAAACAAAAGCCUCCGUCUUGGUGAAACUUUUGUCAUCACCAUCCUAUAAUCAACUCCAGGAUAUUCGGGAACCUGACAACUCGAUUAACUCGAAUGGAGAAUGGCAACACUGAAGGCGGUGUUCAGGAUGAAUUUUCCCAGCAGAGUCGACGAAAACACGGGCCUGUGAUGGCUCACAAUUGCUGAGUCCCUGCAAUGUCGCCCGUGGAUCCUGGAUGUUACUUUCUCCUUCGUCGCCUCUUUUUCAUCGUGAUCGAAGAGUUGAGUGGCAGCGGAUGGCUUUUGGAUGCAUCCUACAGGCUACAAAUAACGGUAAAUGGUGUUUUGGUGAAUCGUGCCUUCAUAGAAAAACGGGAGAAACUGAACACUGACAAAAUAUGCAGCAAUUCGAGCGUAGGCAUUUACCUUCAGCAAUUGCCUCGACAAGAUUCUUGAUGCCACUACCAAUUGCCAGACGCGAAGAAACUGCCUGGUCUUUUUUGUGCCCCUGCACUGAUCCAAUGCAAUUUACACAUAAGGGAUGCGCAGAAAUGGUAAAAUCCAACUUCGUUUUGAUUAAAAAGACUUGUAAACAGAGCUGGAGCAUGUACCUUAGAGAGGUCGCCCUCCAGUUUCUUAGACUUAUAGGAAAUAUCCUGUCGAAGAAUCAAAAUGUUAACUUCACAUUCACAUUUGUGAGACAAAUGCAAUAUUGCGAAUGUCCACUUCACAUUCACAUUCGCAUAAUUCUGAUAGACUGGCGAGAUCACAAGAGAAAACUUGCACCUUCCUGAGACGGGGUAAAUCUCUGAGCCCAUCAAGGUUCGUUAUGCUGCAUUCAGAAAUUUUCAGGACUUCCAAAACCUUUAAAUUUUCAAGACCAUCAAUCUUUGCUAAAUCACAGUUGUCUAGUUCCAAUUCUGACAGAUACUUCAGACCAGAAAAUUUUGGCUCUUGAAUCGUGCAAUGUUUGAGACGCAGAGUCAAUAAGCUUGAAGUUAAGGGAAGUCGUGUGAGAUCUAGCUCCUUCAUGUAGGAUAAAGAGAGCUCCUGGAGCUGCGUAAGGAUACCGAAGUUCCCCGGGAGAUUGGUGACCAAUGGAAGGGACAAUUGCAAGAUCUCUAGACUUGGUAACCUCGCGAUCCACCCAAUAUUCGGAGUCUUUAGAUUCAAUAACCUCAUUCGCCAUUUAGCUUCUGGCUGCUCAACAUCUUUCAAAAGUAGCUCUUUCAGAUUCGUCAGAUAUGACAAGUCAGGGACUAUCAUUUGUUUGGAUCCCCAGACGAGACUGAGUAAACUGGAGGGCAACUUCGGUAGAGCCUGAAGUUGGUCGCAGUCGAGUAGGUCCAGGGUUUGGAGGCGUGAGAGAUGGCCAAUACUUGGACUCAGCCCAGCCACAUCGGAUGACGAUAAUCUCAAAAUUCUCAAAGAGGAUAAUCCUGAAAUAUCACAGCGAACUUCACCCUCCAAAUUUCUGCAGCAGGAGAAAUCUAUCUCCUCCAGGUUCUUUAAGUUCACCAUAUCUUUAGGAAAUUUUCGUAGGGGAGUGUGCGCCAUCUUUAGUGUCUUCAAGUUCUUCAAAUCCUUAACUGACCAUGGCAUUUUCGUGAUUCCAGUGUAUGAAAGGUCCAUUACCUCCAGCAGCUCGAGCUUCCCGAUGGAAGUCGGAAGUUUACCCAACUUCCAACAAUUCCUUAAAGAAAGUCUCCGAAGUUUCUGAAGAAGUUCAACAGUAUAUGGAAGCCCAUCGAUAUCAGCACCAUCGAGAGCAACACUUGAGAGAUUCCUUAGGCGGCCAAUUGUGGAUAUAUCUUGCAAAUAUUGACAGUCACAAGCACUAAGUAUUUCAAGAUUCUCCAAAGAACCUUCUGGGAAACGUAUACUAUAAAUCCCAGUUCCAUCAAUCAGGAGUUCCCUCAAAGAUUUCAUGCAGCACAGUUCUUGGGGCAACUGCCUGACUCCGAUGCACUUUCUCAGAUUUAAGGAACUCAAGUUCUUCAAAUCACUAAUGAAUGGCCCAAUUUGAGAUAACUGAGUGCAAUCUUCCAGUAUCAAAAUCUCCAAAUUGAUUGGAGCUCGAAAGUUCAACGACGCAGGUAACUGAACACAUCCUUGCAGGUUCAAGACUUUCAAUUCAUCCACCUUCUGCAAUGUGGAAAAGAAGAUUCAGACCUUAACCACUCGUAUCUAUCAUCUUAACACAAGAUUUAAAAAGCAAAUAUCCGACAUACCUCCAUGAUUUGUCUCCAGACUUGCGAAUCUUCAGUGACUGGACUCCAAGACAGAUCGAGAAUGACUAACUUCUUCAUAUGCAUAUUAGCUAGGUCAGAAAUCAAACGGCAUGCUGACCAUUCAAGCCAUCUCAAAUUUGGAAGAAGAUUCUCGGUGUUUCCCUGAAUGUUAGCCCGGUCCAGUCUAAGGUACCUCAAAUUCGACAUUUUAUGAAAUUCUUCACAUGUAAAACAGACGAUGCAACCCUCUUCAACCGCAAGACCUAUACCUUCGACGUUUCUAGUAUCCUGUCAACCUCGAUUGGGGGAAAAAUGUGUGAGUAAUUUGAGAACUUUAAUAUCUUACUCCAUUCAAUGAAAUGGAGCAAAUCAGACUUACAAAAUCAGUGGUAUCCACUACGCAUUAUAAAUUGGGUUAAGAACAAAUCCGUUUCUUUUCCGUUCGAGAUUGAGAAAAGAAAGGUAAGUUUAUGCUUUCAAGAGGUUCUGAAACUUACCUUACUAUCCUUUAGAACGGAAACUGCAUCACUGUGAUUCCAAAUCCUGCAGCGCUCAUGAAGAUCUUUUCUCUCGACAAGUUUCCUGCCAAAGUCUCUUAGCAGGUCAUGCAUUCUGAAUUCAUUAUUUUCUCCAAUUUCCAAGAAAUGCAUCUCACGAAGGCAUUUUAUUCCUCUAGCAGGAUAGUAACCACAAGCCUCCCACAUGUAAGAGAGAAUCCUCUCAUGCUUUCCAAUAAAAAAGCAUGCUAUGUCGAGAAAUAUCUUUCUUGUAGGAACAUCUAAAGAGUCGUAACCAACCCUAAAGGCAGCUUCAACUUCAUUUGCUUGGUGAUCUUUUAAGAAUUCCAAAGUAUUUCUCCAUAUUCGUAUAUCAUCCUUAUUGUUGCAUAAAUAUGAGGCCGCAACCACAAUAGCUAAAGGAAGCCCUCCAGUAGCUUUGACUAUGUCCGUGGACAGGUAAUCAUACUCAGAGACAUCUUGGAGAGCAUCCCCUUGGAAAGCAUGCUUACGAAAGAGUUGAAGAGCAUGGUGAUAUCUCAUGGGUUCAACCUUGUAUUUUUUGGUUGGUCUGUUGUCAAAUCCAUCUAGAACAUUCCUCAUGCUUGUGGUCACAAUUAUUCUACUUCCUGGACCAAACCAACUAAGUUUCUCGGCUAAUGCUUUAGCUUGUUCAACCUCAUGCAAAUCAUCUAGGACAAUGAGAACCUUCAUUCUACUAAAUAGACUGGCUAUUUCUUUAGUACCUUCAUCAGAAGAUCUAAGUGGUGCAGGUUUUUCUUUCUGGAGGUCAGCAAUCAACAUUUCUUGUGAAAACGUGAUUCCUUUUGAAUUAAUACCUGGAAGGAAGCUACAUUCAUCAAACAAUAGAUGCAUCUUGUUGAAGACAACCUUUGCAAGUGUAGUCUUUCCAACACCUGGCAUUCCACAUAUUCCAACGACACGUACAUCUUGUCCACAUACUUCGAUCGCCCGUCCAUCAUUGUAGACAACACCAAGCUUUCUCAUCAUCUCUCGAACAUGAAGAUCAAUUCCAACUAGUUUAUCGGUUACAACUUGGUCAUCCUUCUUCAACAACUGCCUGACCCGUCUGAGAACUCCUUUUACAAGCUGGGACUCGUGCCUGCAAAACAUAAGUGAUGAGGCACAAAAAUGACAACAAAGUUACCAAAAGUAUUAAAAACUAAACAAAAAUCAAGUGGGGAAUGAAGCGGUGAAAAUUGAAACAACCAACAGGGGCAGGGGGAAUCUUCAAUUAAAAUGGACAGCAAGUUUUAAUGCGUGGGCUAUUUCCCUUUCAUGCACAUAGCAAUUAUGGCAUCGAUUUCAUGCCAUCUGCAAAACAAAAUUUCUAGCGAAGGGGAAAAGAAUAGGGCGCGACGGACCAGUACAUCUGGUCUAGCUCGCGGUUAUGUUAAUGAGUCUAGUCAUUUUCAAAUGGCCGGUGUAAUCGAGUCACCAGUUUUUCAAUAGGCACAUCGAACUACAACUUGUCAAAUCAUCGACUGAUUUCAUAAGAAUAAAUAACCUCAAAAACCUCUUGAGCAUGCAUCAUGAAUGAUAUGAUUAUAUAUAAUAUUUAUUCGAAAAGGUUUGGGUUCAUUUUCACAUCACCCUAAACCAUUUUUUUUUUCCAUUUUAUCUAGGAAAGAGAAUGGAAACCAGAAGUAAAAGAAUUACCCCCCAUAUACGUUAUCUAGAUGAUAUCCGCUUAAUCCCCCAAUCUGUCGAAGAACCUCCUUCCAUUUUAUGAUGGUAUUUGAGCUGACUCCGUCCUUCUCAUGUUGACGGAAGGAUGUUUCAAAAUGCCCAGCCUGGUGUUUUACAUCGGAGGGACUAAUGUCAUAGAAAAUCGGGAUGAUAGUCUGUCCAUUAGAUAUUCUGCACUCCCACAUUUGUACCACCUCCAUGAGGCAACUUUUACUGGAAGCAUAGUCUUUGGAGAGGAUGGCUAUUGAGAUCCUCGACUGCCUGAUCGCCUCUUUUAGCGCCGGCUUGAUCUCUUCUCCAGUAUGGAGAUUCUCGUCAUCCUUAAAGACCUUGAUCCCUGCAUCUACCAAUUUGCAAUGAAGGUGAUCCGUGAAUCCUUUGCGAGUAUCUGCACCUCUAAAACUCAAGAACACUUCAUGAUUGGUUAUGGACAAUGACGAUGAGAUCGAAGAUGAUUCCUGUCAAAUCAAGGAAACUAAACCACUUCAUAUAGUGAAUUAGCAUUUCAUAUUAAGAUUCCGUUCGUUUCAUGGAAAAUGUGACGUUUCUAGAAAAUGUUUUUCAUAAAGCUAUUUUCAAGAAAAUGAUAAUAUUUUUCAAUGUUAAGCUGAAACUUGAAAAUGAACUAAAAGAAUAUUUCCCGUUGUUCGAUAUAGAAAAUUCUAUUCGAUUUUCCUCCAUGCACUCAUUUUAAUAAAAAUUUUAUUUUUCCAAUAAGUAGAUUUUUUAUUUUUUUAUUUUCUUUCUACUUUUUUCUUUUUUCCUUUUUAUUUUUUCUUCUCCUUCUUCUUCUUCUUUAGUUGAUUGCCAACCAUGGUGAUCGACCAAAGGCGAGCUUGAGCUUGCUGGCCUCAAAAAGGCUAGUCGAUCUAGCGAGGCCCGAGGUCAACGAGCUUAAUCCUAUGGGAAGGCUCAUGCUCAUCGGCCUCAAGCCUUGCCAAAUCGAUGAGCUUGAGGCUCACCUAUGGUUGGUUGCUGGUCGUUGCCAUGGUGGCGAUCGGUCGAGAAAGAAGGAAAGCAAAAGGAUAGAAAAGAAAAUAAAAAGAAAAAAAAAAUAAUUUUUUUGGUAAGAAAAAAUAAUAAUAAUUUUAGUUUCUUAAAAAAUGAAUAAAAUAAAAUAAAAUAAAAAUAAAAAGAAGUGGGGGUUCGCAGGGAUGUGAGAUAAGAAAGAUUGAGUAAAAAAUAUUUUCUUUUAUUUAAAAAGUGAAAAAUAUUUUCUCCCCAUUUUAAAAGAUUUUUUUCUCUUGGUGAAAAAUGUUUUUCCAAUCAAUUGGUUUAUUUUCCGUAAAACGAAAGGUGGAAAACUCGGGAAACAUUUUUUUGAAAAUUGUUUUCUGUAAAAUGAAAUCUCAUAAGUUUGCCCAAAUAAAAGAAGUAAAACAAAGUUUUAUGAUUCUGAUGGAGACCUACCCAACACGGCAAACAAGAUGCAACUGAAUCUUGCCACUCAUACAUCGACUUUUUUUUAUAUAAAAAAUUCUUGGAACUUUGGUAACACUCAAAAUGUUGAUAUGUGAGUUUGCAAUUUUUUCGUAAUUUUCUACUAAACAGGCCCGGCGUACAAUAUCAACAGUGCUUGGACUUUCAAUAGCGUUGUGAUUUUUGACAUUGAGGGGGUCUGAUCGUUUCAUGUCAAAAAGUUUUGCUCCAUUCCAGAGGAUUUUUAGGAUUUAGUGGGUCGAACUACAAGCAGAGGACCCACUCCGACGUACGCAUGUCGAAGAAGUUCUAAAUGAAAAUACAAAUCCCAAAGAUGCAGAGAAAACUAACCCGGUUUCUUCUCCUCAUUUUGAAAACAACUGCAACGACAAUCAUUCCGAGAACAAGAAACCACAUGGACAGUUUUGCCGUCGACGAACCGUGGACGGAAACAGCAACUGCAGCACCAAACGUUCCGCCAAAAACAAACUUCCUAAACGGUUUUGCCCACGUCCAACCCAUUGGGAAAUCAACAACUGCAAGAACCGUCAUUCUGAGAAAAGGAAACACCACGGCCAUUUUUGCCUUCGUCGAACCCACUGCGAAACCAACAACUCAAACGACAAUCAUUCCGAGAAAAAGAAACACCACAGCCAGUGUUGCCUUCUUCGAUCGCACUGUGAAAAUGAGAACUGCAACAACAAUCAUUCUGAGAAAAAGAAACACCCGAGAUGGUAUUGCCGUCCUCGAAUCCACGGCCAGCUCUCUCUCUCUCUCUCUCUCUCUCUCUCACACGCGCAGAGGCCCAGGAGGCCUAUAUAUAGACAUCAGAUGCCUUUAAUACAUGACCAAGACGGUUGACUUCUGGGCAUCCGCCCCGCUGUUGGGGUUGGGCGACGCCGAGAAAAUAUCACGCGAUGCCAAUCACGCCGCCGUGUUGACUGGGCCGGCCCAAUCAUGAGGCAACACGUGGCUCCACUUGAAGCCGGGGCCCCACUUUUAUUUGGAGUCACGCUUUUGUCUCCCCACGUUUCUCUCUUCAUCAAUUGCUUCGUACUUUCUCUGGCCAUUUACACGAAGAAGCGCCCUCCCCCUCUCUCCUUCAAAAUUGUCUCCUUCUCUUCAUCGAAUCCGACUUUUCUUCUCACCCAAGCCACACGAAUCUUAAAAUCACCAAAAAUAAUAAUAAUAAUAAUAAAAAAUAAAUUCCACUAAAAAUUCUAAACUUUAACAAUAUAAUAAAUUUAUCCCGAAUUAUUUUAUAAUACAAAAAAUCUUAAAUUUUAUUAAUUGUAACACAUUUAUCUUAAAUUUUUUUCAUCAUAAAAAAUUACAAACUUAUAUUCACGUGACACAUUUACUCCAAAUUAUAGGGUACUUUCAUCUUUUACCUUUCAAUUUUUCCUUUUUUUUUCUUUUUUCUUCUCCUCUCUUUAGAGAAGAAGAAAGAAAAGAAAAGGAAAAAAAAUUAAAAAUUAAAAGACAAAAAUGCCCUUCAACAAUAAAGUUUGGGUAAAUAUGUUACAACUAGUAAAGCUUGGGGUUUUUUGUAUCUUAAAAAAAAUCAUGAUAAAUUUGUCACAUUAAAUAAAAUUUAGGAUUUUGGGUGGCUUUUUUCUAAGAAUGAAAGGGAGGCCAAACUUUGUCAUGUCACUUCUUUGACGCUUGUAUCGACAUUUGCCAUUCAAUCCUCCAUCUACAGCAGAGAGAAUCUUAAGCAUGAAAAAAAGAAAAGGCAAGCCAAACUUUGUUAUUAACGAGAUUGUCAAAAGCCAGAAGAGAAGCACUCACGAAAUCGAGUGAAACCAUCAUAUUGCUCCACCUGAGAAAAAAGGAAGAUACUUUGAUCACUUAUUUUAUACUUAAGAAGAAAAAUAUAAUUAACAUUACAGCAUAUGUUAGGGUAUUUAAACAUCAACUUAUCAAGAAAAAUAUAAUUAACAUUACAGCAUAUGUUAGGGUAUUUAAACAUCAACUUAUCAAGCAUGACAACAAAAGUAAAAGCUACUCCAAUUAGGUUCCAUCGGCAACAUUUACAUAUAAGCAUACAAGUUGCAAAAGAAGAAUGGGGCAUAUGAAAACCAUGACUUUGACAUCUGGAUCCACAGAUGGUACAAUGAUUCUAUCGAUGGGCAGAUCUUUCACUUCAUCUAGGAAACACUCUAUCAAUGGUACAGCUAGAAUGGGAUUCUAGCUUUGAUUCCCAAAGCUCAUCAUAUGUGCGAGUUUUGUAAAGUUGAGACUUCCUGGAAUGCAUCUCUCUAAUGCUCAUCCUCAUUUUGCGAAGAAAUAAAUAUAGAAGCAAUUUUGUCAUCCCCAUUGUAUCAAAUACAAUGACCUGAGCAUAGUGAUAUUGUUAAAUGGGUACAAUAUGACAUCAUUAAAAUAAAGAAUACUCCCAUCGAUACCUUGUAAUCAAGUGCGUCCAAAAUAUGCUCCUUGAGAAAAUGAUGAACAACUUGAAAAUGCAUGUCAUGAGGAGCAACUACAUAGGACUAGUUAACUUGUAACGACACGUAAAAUACAUGUACAGCUAAUCAAACAUAAAGAGGAACUAUGGAUAUAUGACACAUGCAAUAUGAUCCUCAUGCUCCUCAUAAUUAGUUGAAAAUAGUAAAAAAGUGAGAAAUGAAAUAAAUAUAAUAGUAAAUUAGUCCAUUAUUAAUACCCAUGGUUGUGUUGUAACCACCACGCACAUUUGGAAUAUAAUACAUGACUACGGAUAAAGGGCAAUCUUGGCUCACUCAUGGUUCCAUAUUUUGACACUUUAAACUACUCCAUCCCAAUAUGCCUUCUCAUGAUGAGAGUUAGAGUGACCAUAGCAAACUUAACAGCUCGAGACAAGACCCGAGGAGAAAUUUAGAUGUCUUAGACUGCUCAUGAUGAUCAACAUUCAGCAGAACACCACAACAUAGCUGGGCACGAGUCUCCACACAACCGACAUUUACAAAGUCAAUGAAAGCAUGUUCUCUUUUUCAAACAAGCUGAUAUAUCUAGCGAACCUACACUGUUAUGAUGAAUCACAGAAAUGUCAUGAAAAACAGAGUUUCUAUGAUUCCAAGAUUCAAAGAAGUAGUAAGUAUCAAUUUUACCUCUUUUGGCAUGGUUGCAGAAAAUAGAAGACUUUUUGACGAAGAAGACAGUAAAAAAUAGAACGCUCUCUUCUUCUUUUUUUGGCCAGUUUUGCAUUUCUUCACUUGCCUUCUUUCUUUUAGAAUUUUUCUUCCUAUUAAGCAAUGGUUUUUCGAGUUUACCUUGGUUCAACCAGUUUCCCCUUUGACCUGUUUUUGGGUUUUUUACCAAGUACAGGUCCGAGUGUCCAUAGCACCGGACGGCCAGCCAUUACCCAGAUGAAUCUGUCAAGCUUGCGAGUUCUGUUUGAUUUUAUAGAACAUUGUCUAUGGAUCCAAAUGAAGGAAGUUAACAUGCAAUUUCUUCUCACAAAGUUCUCCAGAAGUUCCAUUCAAGAUCAUUAUGGCAUAAAAUAUCACAGUUUCUCAUAUAUAUAGAGAAACAAAGUUCCAGCGCUCUCUAAUCGCUACUCAAAGGCUCUCCAAUGUCAUUCAGAUGGAAGACAUAGAGGACCAAUAUUUAAAGAUUUGAAUAGAUAAUAAAGAAGUGAAAAUGAAAUUCAGAGUCCUUCUCAAUGGGAUGUGUGAAAAAGAAACGAAUGGAUCGGAGCACGGAUCCUAACAAUCAUCUAUUCAAUUGCUUAAACACUUUAUAUGGAGGAUCUCAUUUUAAAUGUAAGGCCCUUGGCAACUAAUAUGAAAAAUUGCAACGACCUUUUUGUACGUGCUCUGGCAAGUACAUACACUAAACAUAGCACGUUAAAUCUACAUCUUCGCAAUAGCAACUAAAAUGUGCAUUGCCUAACUAACUUUUUUAGUCAAACUUUCUCAAUGUAUGUUGACAAUGCUGAAGCAUCAUGGUUCACAGGGGAGCUCAAGUUAUGUUCUCUUGCAAUAUCUUUUAGCAACUGUUCUCUAUAACAGCAACUUCAUUUUGACAUUAUUUCCACAACGUAUGAAGAAAAGUUCACAAUUCAACAUCAGUCAUUAAUAAUAUCCCUAAGAACGAACCUUUGAAGUGGAAAAAAUAAUAAAUAAAAAAAAGAUGCACUAGCACAUAUUUUACAUCUCAUCGCAUGAGAAGAUUGCAGAAAUUGAUUCAUAUGAACACGUAGGAGUUACCUACUAAGGUACAAUUUUCGAUGAUGCAUAGCUUUUGAUCAAAUGCCUUCUUGUUUGACAUCUGAAGAAGUCAGAGAGCAUGCUUCCGAGAGCAUGCUUCCAAGAACUUAGGUGUGGUCACAUAAAAACGGAUUAUGAUAAAAUAAGAAAACAAGAGUAACAACAAACUGUAUUUGACGAGACGAAAAAAGACUUUUCAGUGGCAAUAGCAUAUAAAGAUGAUGAAAUAAACUGGCAGGUGGUUCUCCUAAGUUAUUCGAUUGAAUUGGAUCCUUUAGAUAUAAGUGAGGAAAAAUGGUCAACUUGGUGAUGAACGUAUUCGGUCAUAAACUUUUUGCUAAUGUAAUCUUAAACCUUUUUAUGAAAUGUUAAUAUAGUUAUUCCAAUUAAUUUUGACUUGAAUUUUCCAGAUUAUUUGGGUUCCCCCCCCCCCCCCCCCUCUCUCUCUCUUUAUGGUUACUGUAUCUUGUUCGCUGUUCGUAUACCGUUCACCUCUCUGGGUAAACUCCUCCAUCUUUCCUCUACUUUCAUCAGUCAAUUACCGGCAAAGUAGUCCAGAAAGAAAAAUCCGAACCCCUUUCCCAACAUUUUUCCAGAUCAUUCCUUCCUCACGACUUACACCAUCAAACAUUUUGGGUAAAAACCUCCGGUCGCUGAAAACGACCUAGAUGGAGAAGACCGACUCCUCGAGAUGCUAAUAGUUGUCAAAUUCACGGUUGAAUUUGAUGGCCCGGGGUACGUUUCGACGAAACAUCGCUCUUGAUUUGCGGUUUGCGCGGAUGGUAGCUUUUCGGUUGGAGCGGGGCUUGAAUUUAGAGCCGUCUGUGUUGAUGCUUGAAAGCAACGGCGCUCGAGGCCUUACGGUUCAGCGGGAUAAUGAUGUGGACGAGAUGAGGUGCAAUGUACAUUCGCUCGGUCCUUUCAUUGAGGAACAGAAAGAACGUUUCUCGUACGUUUCUCGUUUCUCAUGUUAGGGUGUAAGAACCAGAGAUCGUUCAUCUUAUUCUCUCAACUCUUCCGGCUAAAGAGGGACAACGAAAGAGGUGAAAGGAACCUCUGGAGUCUGGAUGGGAGUGGAUCGGGGCGAGAUUUGAGGUCGCCGAGCCUCCUUCAAGGCCGUGGAAGCGUCGUUGUCCAUGGUGGCUUGACUUUAGAUUCGAGGUCGUCGUCCGUGAAGCUUGUUGGCCGGAAGUCUCGUGAAGGUUUCCCUCGUCCUCACCCCUUCUUCAGCUUCAAACAUGAAAAUUUCGCUUCAUUUUUCAAAAAUGAAACUUGAAGAAAUGAACAGUAAAAAAUAAAAAAAUAAAUAGAAAAAAUAGAAAAAUAAGUGAAAACUCUAUUGAAAUUUCACAAUUGAGUUUAUCCACAUUGUGCCUCACAGGACCGUUCACAAUAACUGUACCAUCAGAUUAGUAAAUUCAAGCUAAAAUUUGCCCAAAAAACUCUAUUGAAAUUUCACAAAAAGACUUAUAAUUACAGAUUAUUGCCAGAAGACGUAUAUUGAUUUUUUUGGUCAGCAAGGCAACACAAGCCCAUGCAUUUUCUAUCAGGAUCAUUUAGUACUAAAAUCUUUUACCAUCUUCGGACAAAUCCUGUUCUGGUUUCGGGAUUACAAAGAAUUUUGUUGUUCAAUUUGCACAAUUUCGGCAGUGAAGUUAGAGCUUCGUCCCUUGAUGACGACCGUAAUCUUUGCCUUCCUUACUCGACCUUCUCUCUCCUUAAGUCUUGUAAUCGCAUCGAGCUUCAUAAGUUCGCUUGCGCAAUCAAACAUAGUUGCUUGCGUCUUCUUCCUAGUAUCACAAAUGGAUUUAUGUACUCUCCUCUUCUUUUCCAUGAAACUCAUUCUAAUCAUGAUUAUCAAUACAGGCAUGACGCUGUCGAGAAAUUUAACAUACGUGUCACGUUAGUACACUCAACCAAUUUAAAUAUCAUACGUCUUCUCAAUUAUUUACAUCUUCCUCCACCCUUCCCGGAGGAGCACAAUCACUCCAUCAAUUCGUCAAUAGUCCAGGCCAACGACUCUAAAUCAUUGACUCUUCAAUUUCCGAAGCACUAUGGAGAAGUUGCUUGGAACCUAUGCAUCUGCUUCUUUGACUUGACUUGAUUUUUCUAUUAAUUUAAAAAAAAAUAGAAAAGAAAACCAUGGAGAAUGUCUUCAAGACACAUUCAAAUAAAUUUAUCACUUUCAAUACACAUCAGUAGAGGUGAGCAUGGUCUGGGUUGGGCCGGUCCACCCCCUAACCCUAGAACCAAUCCGCACAAUGCCGGUCCUCAAUUUUUAGGAACGAGGACCGAUCUUAUUGAGCUUGGAACCAAGGACCGAACCGACCCAAUGGGUUCGGUUCAAUUCUAGGAUCAACUCAAAACCAACUGAUAAUUUUUUUAUUUCAUUUUUUGUACUCCUUAAAAAAGCGAUUGAGGACCAGACUGACCCAAUGGAUUCGGUCUGGUUUCAAGGUCAAUCCAGGCUAACCAAUAAUUUUUUAUUUCAUUUUUUGUACUCCUUGAAUGGGUAACAGAGGAUCGUACCGACCCAAUGAGUUCGAUAAUGAGUAAGGUCAGUUAAGAAAGGCAAGCGGUGAGAGUCAAGUGGGGUGAGCUUUAAAUAGAAUGAGCAUUGAAUGUCGAGUGGGGAGCAACAAGCCAAGCGAGUAUCGAGCGACGAGUGGCACGAGUGACCCAAAGCGAACAAGGCGAUGUCAAGUGGCGAGUGAAGAAUUUUUUUUCGAUUUUAGCAAAUUAAAGACUAAAAUGAGAAAUAAGACAAAAGAGAACGAAUAUUAUAGGAGAAUGCCAUAAGGUGCUUUUUCGGAUGCCGUGUGUGACAGCUUGAAUUUUCAGAUUUCGUUUUCGAUUAAAUAAAUCGGGCAUUUUGUCGACGCGCUGAUAGUGCUAUUCUCUGAGCUGAUCACUCACGAGAUAACUAGACUAUCUAGGUAAGCAAUUAAGGAAUUUAAAUGCAAUGGAUUUGAGAAUUUGACUAGAAAUCAACUGCUCGACUGUGUUGAUAUGCAUGAGUCAUUAUGGCACCGUAAAAAAUCGAUCAAAGACCGGAGAUAGAUCGAUUUGAUUGAGAUAUGUGAUUAGUGCAUGGGUGAUUCCACCUAAGCAUUAGACCGAUUUUUUUCAUUUAUGUACUUGGUGUCCGUAUUUGAAAUCUCGAGAUUUUCACGACAACCGGGAAUCGUCAAUGUGUCGAAAAUGCACUAUGUGACUCGAGAUAAAUCGAUCACGGAUCAAUUGCACUAAAAAUUCAUAAAAACUACAUGAUAGAUUAGGUCACGCUAAAAGCGCGCCAAAGUGAAAUUAACCGUGAAUGUGAACCCGAUUUCAGAAAUUGAAAGUUCUAUGGUGUCACGAGCUAUUUUAGGAACGUUGACUCAUUCUCCCAAAAUUUUUCAGAGAUUUCGAGACUUUUACGGAAAUUCGAUUCGAACGUUGCGGAAAUUAAUGGAAAUUCGAAUGGGCCGAAUUGAAGUGAAAUUUGGACUUCCAAACUAAGCUACUAGGUGAUGGGAAUUUGUGGAAACGUGGGAUUUUUUUUCGAUGAAAUUGGUCAUCAAAUUUGGAGAACUUGUGAAGAAAUUGAGGUCAAGAUUAUGAAAUUCGGAGCUAUGGAAGGGAGUAGUAAAUUUGGCUUCAAAUUGGAUUAUACGGUGGAUUUAUCUACGAGAAAGAAGUAAGAGACAAAGUAGGAUAGGAUUGAAGGUGAUUAGGGGACAAGCCUUUAAGUGGGUAGAUAAGUAUUGACUUUCUUUUCUUUUCUCUCUCAAGCUUCUCGCCUACGCCUGCAGCUGUUCCCCUCCAUCACCGCCUUUGAAGAAUUCCGCUCCAUCACGUUUUCCUCUCUCCACUUUCCCCCUUCGAACACCCUGCCUUUCUUCCCUGUCAUUUUUCUCUCUUCCACCGAUCGCUUCAUCCCACCAUUUCAGCAACCCUGCAGCUGUCCCACCAUCGAUUUCCUUCCAUCUUUCCCCACUCACGCCGGUCAACAAACCAGCCACAGCUCCUCCUUCCUUCGUGUCUUCAGCCACGCGUCUCCACCGAUCCACCAGCGUGCGUUUUCUCUGCAGCAAACCGGUCAACACUCAGCAGCACAAAGCAGCCGGUGUUGACCCCAAACAUCCACGCGGCCAACGCACGCCAGCUCACGUCCUCCACCGAAACCGCUUCUGCCCAGCCUGCUGCCACUCGCCCGUUCGUGUCUUCGGUUCCAGCGUCCGUCGAAGUUACUCGUCCCUUCAUCCGUUGACGCCAACUCCUUCGUAGCUGCUCCUUUGAUCGGCCCAUCUCCAGCAGCUCGCCCAUGCACGAAGCUGCACGCGUGCAAUCGAGCCCAGCGUUUGGCCCAUUCUCCAGCAGUAAUUCCAGCGUCAGUAAAGCCUUCUUGCAGCCCGCAUGUUCAGCCUACGUGAGUGUUCAAGUCCAGCGAAGCCCAUCUCCUUUAGCAGCCCAUAAUUUGAAAUUUUCAGCCCGUGAAGCCAAGGCCCAGCUUUUUGAAGCCCAGUGAAUUUUUGAGGCCCAAGCCUAGUGUCUGCAGUGAGCCCAGUCCAAUGCAAUAAUAAAUCUCAAUUUGGGCUGAGAUUUGUUGGGCCCAUUUAGGCCCGGCCUGGGAGUUCGCCGAGGCCGCCGAAAAUUAGGAUUUCGGCCGCCGUCACGCCGUCAUCACAGUGAACCGGUUUUUGCAAUUAACCAGUGAGCUUAUACUCUAAACUUUUCUUAGUAGGCUAAUGACGUUUAAUAGGAGUGUGCAACCGAUCCGGGUCAACCCGGUUCUUGGAUCGACCCACCCGGAAAACAAGGUCGGGAAUCGGUUCUAGUUGAAACCGUCCCGAGAACCAGUUCCCAAAGUUCAGACCCUAUUUAAACGGGUCCGGGAAUGGGUUCCAAGGGAAUACCCACCUAGGAACCGGAUCGAUCGGACUAGUUCGAGAACUAAUUUGAGAACCGGUUUUUAAGGCAGCACCCCAAAAGUCCAACCAAAACCCUAAUUCGUAUUUUGUUUCUAUCUUUACUCUGCUUCCGCUCUUACCUCCGUCAAUCCAUCUGAGCAUUGACUCUGCUUCUGCUCGCCCACCAUCACCUUCCUCCGGCGACACCCGCAGCAACACCAGCUUCGUCAACAUCAUCGAUCUCCAGGGCGGCAAGGUGGGCUUCGGCGCCGUUGCCCCCGAGUCCAAGCUCGACUCGUCGUCCUCUAGAUCAGCGCCCCCAUCUUGGUCCUGGCCAUCCUCACCGCCCUGAUGCCAUCGGCCUCGGACACGAACGUGACGGCGCUACUUGAGAAGGCCGGGUGCAAGACGUUUGCGGGCCUCCUCGUCUCGAGCGGGUCCUUGAAGACGAGCAACGCCCCGAUCAGCACCCUCUCUCCAUCCUCCACCUCACCACCGCAUCAUCGUAACUCUCUCUCUCUCUCUCUCUCUCCGCGCGAUGCAUGCGAUAUUCUUCUCGGUCGAGCGCCCGAAGUUCGUCUUCUACCGUGAUCGAUUUCAAUUGCAGUGGUCAAAACGUGACUCGUGAAUGUCCUGUGCGGGAGCAGGUAAGGUGCGGGCGAUGUCGGCGGAUUUCCUGGCGACCGUGGCUUCUUAUCCCAAUCCCGACGACAAGAUCAGAACCACCGAUCUGAAGGUACUCGAUGAGUUUAACUGUCGUAUCACUCCCCGACUACGAUGCCGCUUCUUUACUUGCUUCCAUGUGCUUUUGGCUACAAGUGCUGGUCGUCUUUGCGCCAUACUACUUUCAAUUGAUAGUGGCUCUCUGCAAUAUUCGUCGGAUUCGAGUGUGUUGCAUUGCCUUUUUUUCCGUAAUGAAUUAGGGGUCUUGUUAAUGGCAUGACGUGUUGAUGCGGAGCGUUUCGCAUGUGCUGCUCUCGAAGACAUUGGGAGAGUAUGUUAUGGUCUGGUUUGUCGGUUUUUCAAGUUCAAGGAGGCGGACAAAAUUGAUUUCUUUGCCAUUAUUGCCAUGUCUUGUUUUGUCUUGAACCCAUUUUGCUUCAGCUUGUUUAUGUGAAGCUUGUAAUUCUUGUUCGUGACAGAGAUAAUAGGAAACUUGUAUUUUCACAACACUGAAGUUGAGUAAAAAUGGAAUAAUUUCUUAUGUUAGACCAUGAAUUACAUAGUGCCAAAAGAUCAGCAUUCUACAUUUCCAAUGCACACCUAAUGAGAGAUUUGAUUUACUAUGUUAGACCAUAAAUUACUUUCUGUCUCCAAAGUUAUGUUGAGAGAUUUGAUUUACUAUGAAAAUUAAUAUGUUUUUGUAAAAUCCUAAUGUUAUAUAAUUUUUUUUUUUAGUUUUCAGUCAAUGGAUCAAGAUAAAGACGUAUCAAUGGAAGUAGAGGGACAUAAUGAAAUGAGUUCACUCAUGGAAUUGCCAUUCCAUUGGUCCAAAUUUUAUACAUGUUCCCAAUGAGUUUGGUGGAAUGAUGUGCUUGGUCCGGCCUUUUUGUUUCAGCAGACAACUCAUCUAGACUUGCUUCUCUAAGCUUCAGCGGACAACUCAUCUAGACUUGCUUCUCUAAGCUAAAUAUAAAGAUACAACAAUUUUUAUGCAAAACAGGUUCCAAUAUAAACAGGGUUAACCCUGUUCCCGGACCGGAAAAAUAGGGUGAGUCUGGAACAGGAUCCAAUGCAAACAAGGUCAGGAACAGGGUCCAAAAAAAGAGAACCGGUUAUAACAAAGUUGAGUACAGGGUUCUAGACCCUACCCACCCUUGAUCCGAUCACCCCUAACGUUUAAGGGAUGUUUAGAUUUAUUUAAUUAGAAAUUAGGUGGUUAGUUAGAUUAAAUUAGAAAUUUAAUUAAUUAAUUUAGCAUGUUAGGUGGUUAGCAUGAUUUAGAUAAAGCCUAGAUAAAUUGCACUACUUGUUCAAAAGGGUUUGGGAAUUUUCCGAGUCCGUAUUGGUAAAUAGUUUAAUAAUUUUGGCCUAGGUUAGUAUUUUUAGAAAUUAAAUUGAUUUAUUUAAUUAAUUUUCGAAAUUAAUUAAUUAUUAAUUAUUCUUCCGGAAAUUAGGCUGGGAUAGCCGGUGAAUGGAAUUUCGUACUAAUUACAAUGGUGUAGUUAAUUUCUGCAAUCGAGUGCUAAAUUGUGAAAAUUGAGUGUUGAUUGGAAAUUUGGUCAAUUAUUCUAAAAUUUAUGAAUUUCGAUAUUUAUCCAGAAAAUCCCGGAUGUCGGGUUUUAAACAUUGAAAAUGGUUUUAUAUACUAUAUAAACCUGUGGGAUUUUGAAAAGAAUGUUACAAAUUUUCCGGUUCCAAUUUGACCGUAUACCCACACACGACUAUUUUCACUGAGUGUUUUUAAUACGAAGAAAAUGGGCUGGAAUCACCAUUUUAAUUGAAGCAUUUGAAUGCAAUGCACGGUGUCCUGGGUCGAGAUUGAGUGAUCGUGUGCCAAUUAAGAGAACCCGUCCCCGAACUGUAUCGAAUGGACGUUACCUUAUAUGGGAUACCCACUUAGUGGGAUUUGGGUCGCAAUAGAUUCUGGAUCUAUACUCAUUCGAGGAAGUCAUCUCUAAGAGAGACGUAACCGUGCUUAAUGGGAUGAGACGAUGGUUGGCUACGCUAGUAGACCGCCGAAAUUCUAGUAGGUUGUACCCUCAAGUGGGUGAAAUUAUCAAUUGGAACACAUGUUGAGUGAAAUAGAUGCGCCGGAUUAUGGGACAAAAUUGUGUAAAAUGGUAUAGGACGUGUCAUAAUGAUUUGGCCUUAUAAUCUGGACCCUGUAAUUUAUUGAGUUGAGUGAUGCGUUUCAAUUAUUGUGUGUAUCAAUUCUAUACCUAAUGUAUAUGAACUGUGUUGACCUACAAGGAGGAACUGAGAUGAGAUAAGUCAUCUAUGCUAUAUACGUGAUUGUGUGGUUAGGACGCUCUUAGCGUAUUUUCCUCCUAAUUGGGAUUUAGAGCUUAUACUUGCUAAGAUUAUAUCCCACCCCGUUGUGGGACAAUAUUUUCAGGGUCGUCAAGUGGAGGAUCGGGAGCCGAGAGGAGGUGAUGUGAAAUGUAGGUCAGCUAGGACCGUCUUUUUUGGAAAGUCAAUUUUUGUGGUCUUUUGGUCAUAGACCUUGUACAUGAUUAUGUGAAUAUAAAGGCAUAUUUGUUUGUGAAAUUGUUGUCCUGCUUUUCUAUCCCGAGAUAAUUACUGUCAAGGGAUUUCUUUUCGCUUCCGCAUGUGCAAUAAAAUGGAAAGGGUCGACGACUCGUCCUAAGAAGUCGCAAAUUAUUAUCGACCAGAUAGGGGUGGGCAUGCGCUCGGGGUUUGGGAUGUGACACCGUGAGAACUCCUCAUAAAAAUAUUUUUCUCCUUCAUAAAUUAUGACUAUUGAUGCCAUAAAAGACAUUAAAAACCUAAGUUAUUAAAUAACAAUGUAAAAUUACUUGAACUCCUCACUAAAAAACUGUUUAAUGUUGUUGAUGCCGCUUAUUUUAAGGUUUUAUUUUUAUAAAAAAAUUAUAAAAAUUAUUUUAUAUAUAGUUAUGGUAGAUUCGGAUUGGACCGACCCGGAACUCUCAAAGGACUAAAGACUGACCUGCACAGUGUUGGUCUAGGAAUUCUAAGACUAAGGAUCGACCUAAUCUCCCUGGAAACUAGACCAGUUGCAGUGAGCCGAUCCAGGGUUGGUCCACGGUUGACCCUAGACCGAUGCUCACCCCUACACAUCAGACUUCACUUUUCAAUAUAUAUAUCUCAAAACAAUUUCCCAAACUAAACUUCUCCAUGACACAUCAUGCCUAAAGAUGAAAUCAUACCCUCCCAUCCUAGUCACUUUUUUUUGUCCUUACAUUAAUAUUUGUUAACAUUUUACAUUCCUUUUAAUUCCGCAUCGCGUUACAAAUUUCUGGGCAAUGAGUUCUUUAUGAUCGAAUAGUUUAUUCAAUGAUGUGUUCUCUUUUUUAUUUCAUUGUUUGAUGACCUUUUUAAUAUUGUGUUAAUGCUCAGUAUAUGAAGGGUCAAAGUAGAUAAUAUGUACAAAGGCAACACGUGCUUUCUAUGAUACUUCAACAGUGCUUAAAGAGAGAACAUAUUUAAGAACUAAUUCAUCUUUUCUUCUACCUCUGACCCAAUUUCAUUAGCCAAACCACUUAUGCUUGUGUAACUCGUAAUUUUUGGAAUUGCUUCCUAAAUCAUUUCAUAGGAUGAAUGCACUUUUCCUUCUAAUAUGGUCAUUCCAAAACUACGUGUGUUAUGUACUGUGCACACGUUGUGAAACCCUACUCCCUCACUCAUAUAUUCCCAUCCCAGCCUCUAAAUUGCAUGGUCCCAUUUAUUCUUGUGAUUUUUCCUUCUUAUUUUUCACCCUUGAGAAAGAAUUUGCUGGUCUAGAAAGAAAAGCUUUAAAACCAAUAGAGAAUGAACAAGGAAUAAACUAGAGAUCAUUUUGCUUGCAAGAUGAAGCAUGAUGUCUAUUAGAGAAUUUAAAGGUUCAUGUGCUAUUAAAUUAGGAGUGAAAGCUUCAUCCUUCCAUGCAUGGCCCUCUCCUUUGUAACUUAUUGAAUACUCGUUUAUUUCUAAUUAUGAAAAAAUUACCAAAACAAUCAUAAAUAUAUUGCAACAUUUUCAAUCCAGUCAUAAAUAUUUUGCAAUUGUGUCAAUUCAAUCCAUCUUGCUAAAUUUAGCCAACCGAGGUUGACGUGGAUGCCAACUAACACUAACAUGGUAAUUUUUUAAUAAUAUUUUUUCGAAUUUCUUAAUUAUUUUUUAUUUGUAUUUCUUCUUUAUUAUUUUUUAUUAUUUUUUCUAUGACCACGGCCAAAGGUUACAACUAGUGAGACCUCACUGGCCACUAGUGAAGCCUCAUCAUCACGGGCGAGCUCAACCUCAUCCAAUGACAACAAGGGCGAGCUCGCCCACAAUGAUGAGCCCUUGCCAAUGUCCAGCAAGGUCUCACUUGCUGCUAGCCGUAACCUUUGGCCAAUUCAACGACUAGCCUGAAGAAGAAGAAUAAAAAGAAGAAGAAAAGAAAAUAUAAAAGAAGGAAAAAAUAAAAGAAAAACAAAAAUUAAUAAAAAAUCGAAAAAAAUUAUUAAAAAAUUGCCACCUUAGCACUGACUGGACGGCUCGACCAGCAUUCACAUCCAGCCGGUCAAAUUUGGACGGAUGGACUGAAUUAACAUAAUUAUAAAAAAAAAAGAGUUUAUGAUUGAAUUGGCCAAAAAAAUAAAUUAUAACUUAAUUGAAAAAAUUGCAAUAGGUUUAAGAUUGUUUUGGUAAUUUCCCCUUCUAAUUACUGCAGAUCUUUAAUGCAAUAAUCAUAAUAUAAUAGUAGUUAAUUUGAUUUGAAAAAUGCUAGCACAAGAAAAAAAAAGAUUCAUUAUCCAAUUAUAGUGUGUAGUAUAGAAAGGACGCAGUAAAAAAUUAAAUUGCAAUAACUAAUAAUGUAAAAAAUUGAUAAAGUGAAAGGAGAAAAGAAAGAAAAAUCAAUCUUUUAGACCAUUUAUUCGUAUAUAACCAUUCUAUGAUAUCCUCUUUCCAUAGAAUAUGACUUUUAUUAACCUAAAGGAUGAAGGCAAUGAGAAACUUGCUUCGGAUCCAAAAAUAUACGGAUACAGAUCUAUUUCAAGGUUAGUGCCUAUUUGUUUUGCGGAAAAUAAAUAAUUUGAAAAUAUAAUAUAUUAGCUAAUUAUUUCAAAUGAUUCAAACGAUCAUUUUUAAGAAAAUAUUUUCCAAAUCAUUAUACGAAGCACAAAGCUAAGUGUAGGGAAAUAUAAGUGUACACAUAUGAAGUGUCAAGUGAUAAUAUGUUAUAUCUUAAUCUCAAAGAGGAAAAGAAAAAUACAUAUAAAUCGCAGUUCAAGAGCCAUUUUGUCUUCUGCCAACCACUAUGUCAUUCAAUUUGGCUCCUCAAAUAACAAUCCCACCUCAUUUAUCGUACAAAAGUACUAUAUAAAAGAUGAUAAAUGAAAGCAAUUAUCAAUUAAGAAAAUAUGCCAAUUCUGUGGUAAAGGGCUGUUGAACCAGUGGGGACUGGGCAGGGACCCCAACUGAGUAAUACUUACCGAUGUAUACAUUGAAACUCUUAGAUGUGAAAAAAAUCAUCUAAAUCAUCAAAAAGAAAUAUAGAUUGUUGCAAAAAUUGUGACCGAAGAGAAUGUAGGUGGAUCAGAAUACAUUUAUUCAAGCGAAAUGUAUUGCAUUAAUUAUUCAUAUUCAAUAUAAUAAAAGUCGAAAUUGACGUAUUGUGCAUAGCAAUUUAUAUACAUGCUAAUCAACAACAUUAAUUGUUUGAAAAAAAAAACAUAUUAAUUGCAACAAAUCGCCAAUUACAGAUUCGAUCGGUUCUUAAACAAAAUCAGCAUUAAUGACUCAAUGAGCCAAAGAAUAGGAACCUUUAACUUUUUUAAUUGUUACAAUACUUUUACCUUUUUCAAUGAAUAUGUAUUUUUUAGUAAUAUGGAGGAGAAGCAGAAGUAAAAUUAAGAUAUGACUCGACAAAAAGUUCUGUUCUCCAUGUUUUGUUAUUAUUUUUUUAUAUUUACGGAUGAAUACAGAGCAUAUCCCAUCACGAUGAACCCGGAUUGUAUCCAGAGGUGCGAGUGGGAAGAAAAUCGAAUAAGAAGAGGAGAAGAGAACAAUGGAUGAAAAGUAUCCUUUCCCAAGCAGCAGAUCAAUUCAAAGGCGCAUCUCUCUCCCUCUCUCUCAACAUCGCAAUCAUCCUACUCAAUUUCACGAUCACGAGCGCACUCUAUUGUAGUUCCUUCUGAUUAGAUCUCCGUCAAAUCCAUUUCACAUCGCCAUCAUAUAAUGAACUCAUGGAGAUUUGGGAACCCGAUGAUUCGAUCAACUGAAACGAAUGAAAGCAAAUUUGGAGGCGGUGUUGAGGACGAAUCUCACCAGCAGAGCUGAAAAAGGUAAAGGCUGGUGAUGGCUCACAUCCACGGAGUCCUUGCAAUGUUGCCCAUGGAUGCUGGAUCUUGUUUUUCUUCUUUGUCUUCUCUUUCUCAGCAUGAUCGAAGAGUUAAGUGGCAGUGGACGGCUUAAGGAUGCAUCCUGCAGGCUACAAAUAAUAGUAAAUGGUGUUUUGGGGAAUCACACCUUUAUAUAAACAGUACAGAUAGGAUGCCAACAAAAUAUGCAGCAAUUCGAGUGUAGGCAUUACCUUUGGCAAUGGUUUUGAUGCGAGAUUCUUGAUGCCGCUAACAAUCACCGGACGCCAAGAAUUUGCCUGGGGUAUUUUGUGGCCCUGCGCAGAUCCAGUGCAAUACACACAUAAGGAAUUCAUGGAACCAAUAAGAGCUAACUUUGUUUCAGAUAAAAAGAAUUCUAAACAGAAUUGGAGCAUGUACCUUAGAGAGGUCGCUCUCCAGCUUCUCAGACUAAAAGGAGAUGUCCUGUCGAAGAUUCGAAAGUACAACAGUAGUUCGUACAGGACAGAGACUAUUAAGCCCCCAGGCAUAUGUCCUGUUCAACACGUUGGUCUAAUUCUGGUAGACUAGGACGAGCAGAAAAGAUACCUUCCACCUUCCUGAGACGGCCUAAUUCUUCGAGCCCAUUAAGGCUUAUUAUCCGGUUGCAAUGAAAAACUUUCAGGACUUCCAAAAGCUUUAAAUCUUCAAGACCAUCAAUCUUUGCUAAAUCACAGUCCUUUAGUUCUAGUUCUGACAGCUGUUUCAGACUAGAAAAUUUUGGCUCUGGAAUCUUGCAGUGCUUGAGACGCAGAGUCCAUAAGCUUGAGGACGAGGGAAGUUGUGUGAGGACUAGCUCCUUCAUAUAGGAUGAAGAGAGUUCCCGGAGAUAAGUAAGGGCACUAAAAUUCCUGGGGAGUUUGGUAACAUUUGGAAGGGACAAUUCCAAGGUCUCUACACUUGUUAAACUCGUGAUCCACCCAAUAUUUGGGAUCUGAUUCGAUGACCCUGCUUCUGGCUGCUCAUCAUCAUUCAAGCAUAGCUCUUUUAGAUUCAUCAGAUUUGUCAAUUCAGGGACUGCCAUGAUUUUAGAUCCCCAGUAGAGAGUGAGUAAACUGGAGGGUAACUUUGGUAGUGCUUGAAGUUAUUUGCAUUUACGUACGUCUAGGGUUUGGAUGCAAGAUAGAUGGCAAAUCCUCUGAGGCAGCCCGGCCACAUUGGAUGACGAUAAUCUCAAAAUUCUCAAAGAAGAUAGUCCUGAAAUAUCACAAUGAAUGUCCCAUUCCAAAUUUAUGCAGAAAGAGAGAUCUAUCUCCUCCAGGUUCUUUAAGUUCACAAUAUCUUCAGGAAAUUUUGGUAGGAAAGUGUGCGCCAUCUUCAGCGUCUUCAACCUCCUCAAAUUCUCAACUGACUCUGGCAAUUCUGUGAUUUUAGUAAGUGAAAGGUCCAUUACCUCCAGCAGAUCCAGCUUCCCGAUGGAAGUUGAAAGUUGAAUCAACUUCUGACAAUCCCUUAAAGAAAGUCUCUCGAGUGUCCGAGGAAAUUCAAAAGCAAGUGGAAGCCCAUCAAUAUCAGCACCAUCCAAAUCAAGGCUUGAGAGUUUCCUUAGGCGGCCAAUUGUGGAUAUAUCUCGCAAACGUUUACAGUUACAAGCACUAAGUUUUUCAAGAUUCUUCAAAGACCCUUCCUGGCAAUAAAUUUCUUGGAUGCCAGUUCCAUCAAUCAGAAGUUCCGUUAAAAAUUUCAUGCAGUACAGUUCUUGAGGCAACUUCCUGACUUGGCUGCAGUUUCUCAAAUUUAAGGAUCUCAACUUCUUGAGAUUACUGAUGAAUUGCCUAAUUUGAGAUAACCGAGAACAAUCUUCCAUUAUCAACAUCUCUAAAUUGAUGGGAGCUGGAAAGUUCAAUGAUGGAUGCAACUGAACACAUCCUUGUAGGUUCAAGACUUACAAUUUAUCCACCUUCUGCAAUGCAUGUGCAAAAGAAGAUAUCAAACCUUACUCGCUCAUAUCUAUCAUCUUAACACGAGAUUUAAAAAGCAAAUAUUGGCCAUACCUCUCCAAUUCCUUCCCAGAAUUUUGAAACCCUGGUAACUGGACUACAAGACAGAUCGAGAAUCACUAACUCCGUCAAAUGCAUAUUACAAAGCUCAGGAAUUGAAUGGCACUCUCGCCAAUCAAGCCACCUCAACUUCUGAGGAAGCUUCAUAGUAUCUCCCAGGAUGUUAGCCCCGUCCAGUCUGAGGUACCUCAAAUUCGACAUUUCCCAAAAUUGUUCACAAGUAAAACUGUCGGUGCUGCCCUCUUCAACUGUGAGACCAAUGCCUUGGACACUAAUAGUACCCUGUCAAGUCUCGGUUGGGAAAGAACAUACGAGUAAGUUGGAAAACUUUAAUUUCUCUUACUGCUUUUAAUGAAAUGACACAAAUCAUAAUUACAAAAUCAGUAGGUAUCCACUACGCGUUCUAAAUCAUGUUAGAAAAAAAUCCCUUUUUUAUGUUAUCUAUGAAUGGUUUAUCUGAACGCUUUUGUGACCUUCUGAAAAAAAAAUUUAGAGGCUUUGCAUACUUACCUGACCGUCGUUUAGAAAGGAAAGUGCAUCGCUGUGAUUCCAAAACCUGCAGCGCUGAUUAAGAUGUUUCCUCUUGACAAGCUCCCUGCCAAACUCUCUCAACAGAUCGUGCAUUCUUAAUUCAUUAUUUUCUCCAUCUUCCAAGAAAUGCAUGUCGCGAAGUUGAUUUAUUCCUUCAAGAGGAUCGCCAUCCCAAGCCUCCUCCCACAUGUAAGGAGGAAUCCUCUUAUCCUUGCCAAUAAAAAAACAAGCUAUGUCGAGGAAUAUCUCCUUUGCAGUAUCAUCCAAAGAUGUGUAACUGACCUGGAAGGCAGCUGCUACUUUUUUAUGUAGUGGGCGUUUUUUUAAGGAUUUCAACUUGCUACUCCAUAACUCUCUGUUCUUAUUUUUCUUUAAAUAUUCUGCCUGAAGCUUAAUAGCCAAGGGAAGCCUUCCCAGAGCUUCGACGAUGUCUGGGGACAAGAUAUCGCACUCGGAGACAUCUUGGGAAGCAUCCCCUUGAAAAACACAAUUACGAAAGAGUUGAAGAGCAUGAUGAUGACUCAUUGGUUUAACCUCGUACACUUCAGCUGCUCUAUCUUUUUCUUCUUCCCCAAAGUCGAAAACCUUCAAAACAUCUCUUCUAUCUGUGGUCACAAUGAUUCUACUUCCCGGACCAAACCAAGUAAGGUCGCCAGCCAAUGCUUCAAUUUGUUCAUCCUCACGCACAUCGCCAAGCACAAUGAGAACCUUCGUCUUAGAAAAGAGAUAUUUUAUUUUUUUAACUUUACCAGAAAAUCUCAGUGGUUCAUGUAUUUCCUUUUGAAGUUCAGCAAUCAACAGUCCUAGGGAAAACUCGACUCCUUCCGAAUUUAUACCUUUCAGGAAGCUACAUGCAUCGAUCAACUUGUGGAUCUUGUUGAAGACAACCUUGGCAAGUGUAGUCUUUCCAACACCCGGCAUUCUGCAUAUUCCGACAACACGUUUAUCUUCUCCACAUACUUUCAUCGCUUUUCCAUGGCUGUAGACAACACCAAGCUUUGUCAUCAUCUCUUGAACAUGAAGAUCGAUUCCAACUAGUUUGUCGGUCACGUCUUGGUCAUCCUUCCUCAACUCCUGCCAGACACGGGUCAUAACUUUGUCUAGGAGGUCGGUCACAUGCCUGCAAAACAUGAGUGACGAAGCACAAGGACAACAACAGAGUUACCAAAAAUAUUAAGCUGUAGACAAAAAUCAAGCGGGCAUUGAACCGACGAAAAAUAAAUUAAUUUACAAGGGCAGGGGGAAUCUUCAAUUUAAGUGGAGAGCAAGAUUUAAUGCACAGAGCAAUUUUGACAUUGACAUCAUCAUGCUAUCUGCAUAACAAAAGAUCUAGUCAAGGGGGAACGAAGAGCGCGUGGUGGACCAGGUCGGCUGAUCUAACUCCCAGCUAUGUCAUGAGUCGAGUUAAUUUUCAACUGGCCAUUUUAAUCAACUCACUGGUUACUUGAAAGGUAUCAAGAACUACAACCUGUUAAAUUAUCAGCCCAUUUCACAAGAAUAACUUUAAAGAUCUCUCUAGCGUGCAUCAUCAUCGAUGUGAUUAUAUAUGACAUUUAUUAGAAAAGUUUCGGAUUCGUUCUCACACCAUUAUAAACUAUUUUUCUUUCCAUCUAUCUAGGAAAGAAAAAAGAAACCAGAAGUAAAAGAAUUACCCCCCGUUUAUGGUCGCCCGAUCAAAUCCGCUCAAUUCCACGACCUCUCGAAGAACCUCCUUCCAUUUGUCGAUGGUCUCUGAGUCGACUUUUUUAUAUGCAUCAUGUUUAUUGAAGGACGUUGCAAAAUCCCCCUCCAGGUUCUUUACAGCAUGGGGCCUAACAUUAUAGAAAAUUGGGAUAAUAAUCUGUCCAUUUGAUUUUCUGCACUCCCACAUUUGUACCGCCUCCAUAAGGCAACUUCUACGGGAAGCAUAAUCCUUAGAGAAGACGGUUAUUGAGAUCGUCGACUGCUUGAUUGCGUUUUUUAGCUUCGGAUGGAUCUCUUCUCCGGCACGGAGCUCUUCGUCAUCUCUAAAGACUUUGAUUCCUGCCUUUGUCAAUCUGCUAUGAAGGUGAUCUGUGACCAAUGAAGAUAAUUCCUGUCAAACCAAGGAAACUAAAGUAAACAUAGUGUUCCAGACCAAGUCUUUAUGGUUCUGGCCAAAAAAAAAAAAGUUUCUUGGUUCCGAUGGAGCCGAGCCUAACACAGCAAGCUGACUGCAACUGAAUCUUGCAGCUCAUGCAUUUUGGCUGUUUUAAGAUCCAUUAUUUUCAGAACUUUCGUAAUACUCACACGUUGAUUAGUGAAUUCCCACGUAAUCUUUUUAUAAUUUUCUCAAAUUUAAAUGGUAUCUCAAAUUUUAGGGGAAAGCAAAACAAUACUUAACAGACCCAGCGUACAACAUCAAUAGUGCUUGAAGUUUUGAUACGAUCUGGUAAUUUUGAUUUGAUUCAAUCGUUCACGUCAAAGGAGAAUUGUAACAUUUCAGACGAUGUUUAGCAAUUUGAGGGGCUGAACCACAAGCAGAGGAUCGAUACCGCCAUAUUCAUAUCGAAGAAAUAAUAAUACAAAUCUCAGAGAUCCAGAGGAAACAAACCGGGCAUUUUCUCUUCCUUCCAGCAGCCACAUCUUCAGGAGCCAUAACUCGGAGAAUUAUUAGAAACACCCCGCCCGGACCAAUUCGCUCGCUCGCUCUCUCUCUCCCUCUCCCGUUGGGCAUAGGAGGUCUAUAGACAUUUUCAGACAACAUUAUAAGUCUUUCUCCAUUACAAAAAGUCGAGAAAAAAACAAAGAGACGAAAAGGACUUUUCAGUGGUUGGAAUCGAUAAAGCAGAUACAGUGAACUGAUUGGUGGCCCUCUCAAGUCAGUUCCAUUCAAUCGGAUCGAUAAAGACGAUGCAAUGAAGUGAUCGGUUGUCCUGUCAAGUCCUGGUUUUAUGUUUUAUUUUUACUUUCUCACCUUGGCAAACGAGGAUGGAUUCCACGCAGGUCUCACAGUACGAGUUCUCCAGUCUGGAGCUAAACUCGGCCAGGGUCCUCCAGCUGGGACCCAAAGUUGAAUAUGCACCGUUCGAGUCCGAGUCCAGGUAGAUUCUUUAAUUAUAAAAGUUGUUAAAGCACAGAUAUCUUGGUAAUACUUCAAACCACCGGAAUAUCUAGCUUUGAGAAAAUAUUGUGUACACAAGAGCACCACAUCAUAUGAGGCCCAUCUGUAGAAAUUUUGAAAACGCCUCGACGUGUCUGGCAGCGUUUGUUUGUAUUUCUUUUUUGUGUUUUUAAACACUUUUUCUGUUUUUUUGUUCCUGGGAACAAAAAAGGAACAGAAACGCGUUUGGGUGCGUUUCUGUUCCUUUUUUGUUCUUUUGUUCCCAGAAACAAAAAAGAAACAGAAACAAAACUUAGAAAUAUUUUUUUAUUUUUUCUUCUUUUUCUUCUUAUUUUCUUUCUUUUUUCUUUCGCCGGUCGCCGGCCUCGGCCAUGGUCGGCGACCGGCCAAAAGAAGAAAAAAGAAAAAAAGGAAAAAUAAGAAAAAAAUAGAAAAAAUAAAAGAAAUAAAAAAAUUAUACAAAUUUACCAAACGUGUUUCUAUUUAUUUUUUGUUCCUGGAACAAGUUUACCAAACGCGUUUUUUUGUUCAGAAAUUGUUCCCAGGAACAGAAACACUUUUUUCUAUUUCUGUUCCCUGGAACAAUUUUUAAACAGAAACGCAAACAAACGCACCCUCUGUCUCCUCUCUUCGUUCAAUGUGCCGUGAGAGGGUCCCACCUGUACUGUAAAGAACGAGGCACUCUCUCUCUCUCUUCUUUCAUAUGCAUUAUUUUCUCCCAGAUAUGUGAGAGAGAGAGAUAGACAGAGACAGAGGGAGAGCGAGAGCCUGGUCAUGGCGGAAACCAUGGAAGCCCCAGGGCACAACCCUAAAGCUCCUCGAGCACGACCGCGCCAUGCUCUCAAUUGCCACGGGCCAGUGAGGUGUCUCACUAGACGUCUGCGAGGUCGAGACCUCACCAGAUCGGUGAGCUUGAGCAUUGCCAGCGCCAGACCUCGGCAAGCUCGAGCUUCGCCAGCGUCCAACGAGCUUGUCCCUCGCCUGGCUGGUUGCCAGCCACCAGCCGACAUAACGAAGAAGAAAGAAAAAAAUAAAUAAUUAAUAAUUAAUUAUAAUUUUGAUUUUUAAAAAUCUUUUUAUACGCCUGGUGUUUUGGAAAUGGGUUUUAAACUCUAAUUUAAACUCAUUUAUUUUAGUCUUAAAACUCAUUUACGAUAAACACUUCAAAAUCGGAGUGAUUCAUGGUUCAUUUAUAUUUAAGAUUCAAUCUGACAAGUUUGUUUGAUGGCAAUUUCCUCGUGAAUACUUGUUGCACAUUCUGAUCAGGAAAGGCUUGCAGCGUUUGGCGGACUGCUCCUCAUAUUACGUAAAAGCAUCUUCUAGGUGAGACGACAUAGGAAAAAAUUCUAAAAAAAAAAUCGUAAGUAUCUCUAACAAUCUAAAAUUAAAACACUUAUUCUCGAGUAUAUUAGACCUGGAUUGUGGGUUAAAAAAAGAGAGUAACAGAGGAAGCUUAGGUGCUGCAUGGCAAUGUUUCUAUUCCUCAAAAUUUCUGUUUUUUGGUUCCCUGGAACAAAAAAAGAACAGAAACCUGUUUGGUAACGCCAAGUUGUUUUUCUAUUCCCGGGAAUAGAAAGUUAGCCCGGGAAUAGAUUUGGAGCAGAAAUGAGAAGUAAAAAAAAUUUGCUUCUUGUCCCGAGAACAAUUUCUAGAAAUAAGCUGAUUUUCUUUUUUAAUUUUCUUUUAUUUCUUUUUCUUGCCGCGACUACCGUCAACCGCCAGGAGCCAUCGCUUACUGCCGCCGCCGCCGCCGCCUCACGGCCGGCAGUGACGGUCGGCGGUCGGCAGUCGUGAGGCGGCGGCGGCUGGAGGGCCGGCGGCCGCGACCGGCGGGCGGGCGGCGGCGAUCCAUUGGCAAGAAUAAAAAAUGAAUAAAUACAAACAAUAAAUUGUUGCGUUACCAAACGCAUUUCUAUUCUUUUUCUAUUCCAAGAGUAGAAAUUUUGUGUCGUUAUCAAACGGGUUCUUUUACUCAGAAAUUGUUCCCCAGAGCAGAAAUAGAAAAGAACUAUUUCUGAAAAAAAAAAAACUCUUCCCAGGAAGGAAAGCGUUGUCAUGCGCAGCCUUAAGGAAUUGAUGGGCAGUUGAGGAAGAGAGAGAGAUUACGGUAUAUAUACAAAUGUUAUAAUUUGUACACAAGCUCCUAAAGUUUCUCCUGUAAAUUUAUUUAUCCAUUGACUUUCAAAUACUCGUAAAUUGUUUUUGGGAAUAAAAUAAAAAAGAAUAAGUUCCAAUCAGAAACUGUUUCCGAAAACAGAAUGAUUAUCAAAUGCAUCAUAACUACUGAUGCUUGAACUUUAGCCAACUAAUUCAAGGUUCCAUUUUUUAAAUGUACCAAAAUAAAUAAAUAAAAUAAAUAUCAAGAAUGCCAAUUCGUCCAUUUUCCAAUUUGCAUGAGUCUAAUUCAUCGGACCUCAGCCCGCAAGGUUAGCCCAUAAACCCCACUCGAAGCCCAUUAUCCAAAUUCCAUCACUCUUACCAACCGAUAAAACACACCCGGGAUCCGGAUCGUAAUGAUGUACAGCUAAUUCAAAGAGCAUGCCGGUAGAACUUUGGAUUCUUUUCAAGUUGAACAACGGACGAUAUGAAUUUUGCCGACAAAUCGAGAACUCAGCAGGACAAAAUGAUCUAACCGCGCCUUCAACUUGCAAAAGGCACGGCGAAAUACCAUCUGGACACUCCAUGAGGCCGAGGAUGAGGUGGGCAUUAAAGGUUCUGCAAUCUAAAACAUUUACAUUCUGUGAUGCUCUCCAUUGUGGACAUGAGGGGUUAAUUGUCCUACAUUGGGACAUCACACAGUGCAUGCCAUCUUUUCUGACCUGAAACAAUGCAUUUCCUUCCAUUGUCUACGGUAGAGGAACGCAACAGAGAAAGAUUGAACCAAGGGGGUCCGGCACCUCAGAGAAGAACUUAUCAUAUAACCUGAACAGAGAAUUUCACUGACAAUCGGAGACAUGAAGAUGCUCAUGCUCCAAGAGCUACAAGAUGAGCAGAAGAGUCAACGGGAGGAAGAGGGAAAGAAGAAGAUAAACAUAGAAACGAAGAAAGAAAAUGAAAAAGAAAAAAAGUCUUUGGACUAAGAUGCCCCUAAUUAUGAUUUGGAAAGUGGCAUGUGAGAUAUGCAUGCUCACUAGGUUUUUAUUUGAGACAAAGUCCACCAUGAAUUUUUUUUUUUGGUAAAAAAAAAUGAGCUCACUUUAAUUUUAUUUGAAAUUUUUCGGGUGUUCUUUCAUCCAAAAAGAUGAGAUAAAUAAUUAUUUAAUUGGCAUAUAAUCGAAUAGCAACAAGCUUACUAAGACGUUAGAUUGUUAACUUUUAUGACAGGUGAUGUUGCCUUGCUAAAAAAUAUCAAAUAAAUGAGUGUGUUUGGACUCAAUGAAGGAAAGGUAAAGCAGUUUCGAUGUAUUUUGGAACCCACCUAAUGCUUACAACAAGACAAGCCACUCGCGAAUUGAAAAGAAGGCAGAGGGUAAAUACGGUAGAUGGAUACCAGACGACAGAACAUGGUAUAUAUGUCAAAACACAUUCCCCGCAUUUAGGCCACAACUCCUGGAUACUGCAAGGAUAAAUCUGAAAAUAGAAGACAUGAUCAUGGAGAAAGCACUUUAAUCGGUCUAUUCACUUGUUCUCUUUUAACUAUUGAACUAAGACAAGCUUGAGACAUAAACAUCCUACAAGACAUAGCAAGCCUCAAGAAAGAUAAGUUACUUGCCUAAUAAUUAUGAAAUGGCCAGAAAAGAGUACUCAAGUUGGUUUCUCUUUUUGGAUUAUUGCUUGCUAAUGGAUCACACUAGAUUUCCUUAUUUCUCCCUUUCUUUCCCCUUGUCUACUUCUAGUGCGACUUUGGGACCGGAAGAACCUCAAAACACAGUUGCAAUCAACAAUUUCAGGGAUGGCCAUCCUUGGACGGCACUGGAAUGUCAUGAUAUUUUUAUGAGGCUCCGGAACUCCUCAAGUUAGAAGCCGUACUGCAAUAAAACAAAACCUAUCUGUCAGCCGGUAUCAAUCUUAUGGGACUGAAAGUGCUAAGAAAGGAGAGGUUUCUACGCAAUAUAAAUAGAACAGAGUGUUAAAAUGGAAUGUUUUCCAUGACCUUUUAUUCUUUUUUUUUUUUUUGAAUGUUCUAAAAACAAAUUUAUCCUUUCUCUGAAACGCCUAUAUCUAAUAUAGGCCUAAUUACCCAAAAAAAAAAAAAAACCACCAAGAUGAACGUGCCUUACUUGGUUUCUCCCGCACCUAAGUCCCAAUGAUAAGAAUGAACUCACCAAAUUAAAUAAUGGAAAGAGUAGUAGAAGAUUAGAUAAACAAGAAAAAAAAAAGUGAGAACAGAUGACACCCCAUUAGAGACUCUGCUAAUCUGUAAGUAAUCUGCCUUCUGUAUUCAUGGGCUUUAGGGUGUAUAAUGUUCUGAAUGCCGGGUUGGGAGUGGGUGGAGAGAGAGAGAUGGUCAGCGAGAAAAUUCAGAAGGAAAAGUUAACGGCGAUCUCCCAGUCCCGUCUUGUUUGUUAUUCUUCACUCUGUUAUUUGGAAGGAGAAGUGAGCCUAUCAUUUACAUGUUCUCUUCCUCAUGAUUUAGGUUGUGGAAUACCGAUAUAUAUAUUAGUUUUUCUAUUUUGAAAACCCUAAUUAACUCUCUCUCAUGGUCGGCGCGCCUCCUUCAGUCCUCAACACUCCUCAGGCACUUUCCCUCAAAAAGAAACCCUAACCUUUGGUCCAUUCUUAAUCCUCCUCACGCAAGAUCCUCUUAAUUCUCGCGCCUCGUCUUGCUCUCAGUCGCCUCUCGGCUAAACUUUCACCUCCAGCCCUCUAUCCCUACAUCACAGUCGUGGCCUUGCAUACGACCCUCCCUCGCGGUCAUGGCCUCACCUCUCCCUUACUCUCGACUCAAUGUAAUGGCCGUUCUCUUGCUAUUAUUGCUUGAUUUCUGUCGCUGGAAUGGGAUUUCUUAUGGGAACGCGGCGUUAGUUAUGCUAGAAAUUAUCCAACACUCAAUUUGGUGUCUUCGCACUUUUAUGGGAAAAGUUUCGCAGUCUUUUUUUCAUUCAAUUUCUUUUACGUUUCAUAAAACAUGGAAAACUAACAACAUUGAAACACACUAAAAGUCGAACAAGAUAUAUCAAUAUGAUAUUAAUAGAGUAAGAACCCGAACUUUGUCGGGCAAAAUUAAAUACCGCCUUUACAUUAAGCCUUGAACAGGAUCCCAGCCAUGCCCGACAUAAAAAAUGCAAUUAGUCUAGGCUAAUGAACGCAAAUUUCCCUAAACUUUGGCGAUAAUGAAAUGUUAAACCUAGAUAUGAAAUUGAGUUUAAAUAAACUAAAUACCGUGAUGAAAUUCUUACCUAAAUGCAAUUCCUUUUUUUUUUUAAAAUCUUUUUCAUCUCCAAUAUUUUAUAUUUUCCUCAUGGAAAAAACAGACUAGAAUCUAAGAUAACAUCCAAGGGAGACACGGACCAAGGCCCAGUCCGGAUGAGGGCGCACAUUACACCCCCAAUAAAUCACACAGGAUAGACUUGUGUCAUGGACAGGAUUCUCCCGUGCUUAAGUAUCCUUGUGAGUAGAGCUUGGUGUGAUUGAAGUGAAGAAUGAGUGAUGUAGAAGGGACGAUACAACUAGUUCUUAGGAGUGGCGUCAGAGUAUUUGUGCUAGGAAUUCUAUAAUAGAACAAUUAUAACUACUAGGAGUUUUAAAAGCAGGUUUGGCCUCCCGUGUAUAGACUAAUCAAUAGUUGAUGUUGCUUUCCCAAUGAGACCAUGGCAAGCUGAAAUCACUUGUUGCACCUUAAUGUUCUAUGUGUCUCGCGCAAAACAUUGGAUGCCCGAGCUAAACUAAGUGUGAUGCAAUCCUACGUGAUGAUGCAUCGCCAUACUCUUCUUAGGAACAAUUAUAAACAGAAGGCUAGUACAGUGUUUUCGGCUCACUAGGUGCUGCAAAGGCUGUUUCAUGGCCAAGAAACUAUCGGUCCAUGACACUUGAAUGGCGAUUGCAUAAGUGCUCAAUGCAAAAUGAAUGGGCGAAUACUAAGGCUCUGUUUGUUUCGCAGAAAAUAAAUGAUUCAAAAGAUAUUUUUUUCUUCUAAAAAUGCUCAUUUGUAUAACUCGAAAUAAUUAAUUAACAAAAUAAAUUAAUCAAUGAUCACAAUUCAUGUCUAGAUAUUUUUGUGAAUGAUAAAAAAUAUUUUUCAUUUAUUUAUUUUUGUAAGUGAUAAAAACGAUCAAUUUUAAAAAUUGUUUUUCGAAUAAUUUAUUUUUCGCAAAAUAAACGAAACCUAAUUCUAACAUCACUAGACAUCAAUAUAAACAUGGAUAUGAGAAAAUCAACUAACUCGACAUGAUGAGGUUCACCGCUAAGGGGGAACACGGCUUUGAGGCAAAUUCGUUGUUUUUGGGUAAGCAAACAUAAUGGCCGGUUUUGAUGAGAACAUUAAGAUGCAAGUAUCAUAGGUCAAUAGUUCCUUGGCCAUGGAAUACCCCGUGUAGCUUUUGAGGAGCGGAAUUCGCCAGGCCAACCUUCCUUUUAUAGUUGUUUCAAUGAACAAUACGACGAAUAGUACUUUUAUACGAGAUCGUACCACGCCCAACUUUACUUAGGCGUCUAGUCCAUCAAGUGAGACAACAGAUCUCUUUAGGCUCAAUAAUUGGUUUCAACCUCCCAUGGCCUCAUCAAGAGAGUGGCAUCAACUCUUGACUAGUAUGUGCAUGAGAGGCUAACUCCGUCUUCAAAGCUCCUAAGUAAUAUAAUCAUUUCUAUCCUAGAACUCUUAGCACCAAUCAUCCUGAUCUCACUCCCAGUUGUGUUUAUCCUCUUUGCAUCCUCACUCUUUAUUCGAUAACCCCCGGCUCCGGUAUGGGAGAAUCAUAGACUGUGACACAAACACAUGAUUUAAGCAUUAAACAAGACAUAAUCAAACCUCAUAUCCAGGCUAAUCAAACUGGUGGUACCGAGAUAAUGAGUUUGCAACACCCAAUAGGGCGAGAUAGACUAACAUACUUGGCUUUAAACUACAAUUUCGCGGUCGGCAGAUCUGAUGAACAAUAGAUGAUAGGGAGCACACGAAAAACAUUAGACUCCUACAUUAAAUGAUGGAAGGAAAUAAAUGAACAAGCCUGGAUGGACCUCUCUCAAAUUUCUCACUCUCGUUUCCUUCUCAACUCACUCUCUCGUGCUCUCACGGCCAAACUCACUCUCAUUCACUCACCCACGGUUUGGGAGAGCUGUGGGAGAUGUUCUCCAGCUCACUCUCUAUUUCCCUCACUCCCUCUCUCUUUCAUGGAUUGAAUGGUUACGAAGUGAAGAAAUUUAUUCUUUAUACUCCCCACUCCCCAAUUUAUGCUCACCGUUUGGACCCAUUUUUGGGGUACAAUAUGGUGAGGUCUUUUGUCCGAUGGUUUGUACCAUGCAUGGGGUUAUUGGCCGGUCAAAGGGGAGAUGAUUUGUCCAGGGGAGAGGAUUUGUCCACUGGUUCGUGCCAUACUCAAAAGAGGAAGCCCUUUUGCCUAAGGGUUUGUACCAUGCUUGGGGUUCAAAGGAAGUCUAUUGCCCCUUGGAUUUAGAGGUGUAUGGCCGACCAAGGAGAUCCUAUUUUGACCAAUUUGGUUCAAAUUUAAUGUGCCAUUGUUUCCCUAUACGGUAUACCUAAAAAAGCCUUAUUUGCUUGUCCAGUAUUUUCCUAUUUAAUCACCAACGUAUCUUUCCGAUCAGGACGUAGACAAACUGCAGGUCGAUCUAUGCGCUUUCUCUAAGUUCUGCCGUUUGUUCCUUAGCUCCUUAGGAAUGAAGGGGAAGACAUAAGGACGGGCUUUUCGGGCUAAGGUAAGAAAGUCAGCCUUUACGACUGUGAAAGCAAUUCCUUCGUGGGACUUGGAUUAGCGGCAUAUCCACAAAGGAGGCAAAUUAAAAGGGCUAAUAAUGCGAAAAUGUGAAGCAAAAUGGGUGAUUCGAGAGUUAUCAUUAUUUGGACGAAUUUUAAAAGUAAAGGAUACGCAAAAAUGAGAUAUAUGAACUCGAGUCCACGCAAAGUGCAAUAUGCAAGUUUAUGCAAUAUAGAUAUUUUUGGUUCGGGAUCAAAUUCCAAAUGAAUUCGAUCCCUAAUUUUUCUUAUGAAAAGCACAAAUAGUCUAUAAGCAAAAAUUUAAGUGUAAAAACUAUAUUUAAAUUGAAAGAAGAACCAGAAAAGUUGAACAGCAUGUAAUGAAAAAUAAAUGUAAAAAUUAACCACGUCACUCAUGUCAAAAGAUGCAAAACAUCCUUCCCUUUCAGAUAAGCCUACGACAGCAUCGAUUUGGCAGGGGAAUUCGUAAACUUGAUCUAGAAGUGAGGAGACACAUGGUAACUAAAAAUUUGACAAAUCAACUAAAGGCAUAACGUCAUAAACCAUAGGUAAAGAAAGAAUGAGAACUCCAAACAUCAAAGUGACCCAAUAUUCCAAGUGACAAAUCUGCCAGAAAGUAGCAUACACUUGAGGCGUUACAGAUUUUUCCAGCUGAAUUUUGUUAGGAGAAAAUCAACUGGUGCACAACUUUCCUUUCGGAAGAGACCGAUGUGCUCACCCGGAGGGGCUGCUUUUUGCUCACGGCGGUUGAUUUUGGCCUCAACUUGUCUUCAGGGGGAAUUCAAUAGAAUCAAGCUUGAAAUUGACUCCAACGAAUUUGCCUUAUUCGCCUGCUCCCCUAGCUUCCCUUAACAAGGUGGAUGGCCAUGCACAGAUAUCAGUUAGAACUGAGGAGACUCCAGCAUCACGUAUUUGGAAAACGAGCCAUUACAUACUUCAAUGCAUCCUGUACUUGCGCCGACUUCUCAGCCGGACAUUCACUGAUAUUCAGCUUUUCCAAAGAUGUUAAUUUUUCUAGGCCUUCAAUUUGACUGAUCUUUUUGCAUCGAAUGAUCUCUAAAACUUUCAGCGACUUCAAGUUUGAUAGAUCAGGUAAACUGAGGUCAUCACAGUCAGAUAGAAUCAAACUCCUCAGUGAGGUUAUCUGGCCAAUCCCAUUGAGAUUUUGUAUUUUGCAGUUUGAUAUAUCUAGCCUCUUCAGGGCUUCAAGCCCUUCAAGCCCUUCAAUCUCUUCUAUCGCAGAGUGGUAGAGCUUGAACGAUAACAGCUUCUUGGGAAGCUCAGAUACAUCUCUACAGCUCAAACCAGGGGGGGUAAGCAUUUUGAGCCUUUUGAGGGGAGGAAUAUCCGUAGGCCCAAACUUCAGCUUGAUAACUUGCGAAAGAGAAAGUUCUAGUUUCCUCAGUCUGGGAAACGAUAUCGAGAAGGAUUGUUUGUCAAUCAUUCGUUUCACGUUGGAUUCUGGCAUUGGCAGUUUGGAGGGAGGUUGGCGUGCCUCCCAGUCCCCAUCACUUAGGCACAGCUCCUCCAACUCCUUCAAAUCUUCAAGAAGGGGUAUCGCUUUCAUCCUUUCAGAACUCACACGCAGACAAAUUAGAGACGGGGGAAGCUUCGGCAACUCUUCAAUUUCAUCGCACUGAAUUAAAUCCAGGGUGUGAAGACCACCGAUGGUGGAGAUUGCAGGGGGUAGGCUAGAUAUACUGGAAUGGCCCAGCGUCAAUGAUCUCAGACAAUGUAGUCCCUUAAUAUCAUGGGGAAUGGCCCCCUUCAAACUCCAACACCAGGACGCAUGUAGUUCUUCGAGCUUGGUUAGAUACCCAAUCUGCCCAGGAAAUGCUCGAAUGAAAGAUGAGUCCAUUCUCAGCACUUUCAAGCUUUUCAGAUUUCCUAUUGAAUCUGGGAGUCCAGAGACACUAGUCGCCGAUAUAUCCAACUCCUCUAAUGACCCAAUUUCACCGAUGGAAUAUGGAAGUUUCUCCAAACAACGGCAAUCCCUCAAUGACAAGCAUCUUAGCUUUUGCAGCUUUCCCAGUGAGCUCGGGAGCUUAGAAAUUUUGGCACCUUCUAAUUGGAAUUCAGAGAGAGCAGUCAGAUAACAAAUUGAACUGGGCAGGUGAGUCAAUGGGAAGCAAUUUAAGCCACUGAGAAUUUCGAGUUGCUUCAAAUUGCCUAUGGAGAUGGGGAUCUGCCGUACAGAAGUCCCGUCAAUAAAAAGCUCUUUCAGAGCUGUCGUACAACCUAGUUCCACUGGCAACCAGUUCAAUUGGGAGCAGAACUUCAAAUUCAGGUAAACUAAAUGUUUCAAAUUGCCAAUUGAAGGAUCUAGCUUCACCAAAUGAGAACAUCGUUCAAGAAUCAGGAUUUCCAAAUCUUUGUAAUCAGAGAAGUCAGGAGUGAACAGUAAGUCAGAACACCCGGUAAGAUUCAAGACUUUCAAUUUCUUCAUCUGCAAAGCCAAAAGGGAAAACACGCACAUGGUCAAUUCGCAGAUAUUUAAUUCAACAAAGCAACUAUAAAAUAACCAAAUGAAUACCAAACCACCUUGAUUUUACUCCAACCUCCCCAUUCUUCCGUGACUUUGCUCCAAGACAGAUCAAGAAUAACUAACUCUCUUAAUACAAAAUUUUCUGCUCUAAAAUCCAGAGGAAACCUUUGCCAACAAAGCCACCUUAAACUCGGAAAUACACCUGCAAAAUCUCCGGAAACUUCUGCACCAUCCAACUUGAGAAAACUUAUGGCUGGCAUGAACGCAAAAUUUACAGCUGUUAAUAUGCAUAAAUCAUGAGAUUCAACCUCUCCGAUUCCCUACAUAUAAAAUAAGUAUCAUUAUCAUCAGAAGCUGUAAACCAAAAUACCAAUCAGGAAAAAAGGAUGCUUUUCCUUGCCCCGCAUGCUAAAUAGUACAUACAUAAUAUUAUUCCCUCAGAAAAUGUGACAUAAAAAGAAUAAUGCAGCCCAUAUGUCAAGGAUGUUUGUUUGCCGAAGACAAACUGAACCAAAGUUUUACCUUCUCCCUGUUCAUUGCUUUUCGAAUCAUAUCCUGUGUGAAAAAUCUACGUGAACUUGGAUCUCCAGAUCCCUCUUGCUUAAAAAUUCUUUUGCCAAGCAUCUCAGCAAUCUGUGCAUCUGCAGUUCAUUGUUUUCUCCAAUUUUUGCCAGGGGCAUUAGAAUGCAACCAGAAGAUGGAAGGUAACAAUUGGACCACAUAUAUGAAGCAAUUCGGGCAUCCACACCAGAGAUAAAACAUGCAAUGUCCAGAUAUAUAUCUUUUUGCCGAUGAUCCAGUUCUCCGUAACAUAUAUCCAAUAGCUCUUGAAGGCCAACCAUAGUCUUUUG